GAAGAGAAGAAAAAGAAAAAAGAAAUAGAUAGAAAUAAAUAUAAUAAAUAUUCCGUAAUAAUUAAUUUCGUUUUUUCUAAAAGUGAAAGAAAGAGAAAGAAUUUUUUUUUCCUUUUUUCUUAAAUCCAAACUAUUGGUUUAGAAACAAUAUCGAAUUGAUAUGUUUCAAUCGAUUUGAUCAUGACCCAGCUUAUAUAGUGUUUUGGUUCUACUCUUUGAACCAACCAGAUAGGUCAAAAAAAAAAAGAAAAAAUUGAAUUAUUUGAAUCAGCGAUUCAACUAUCAAACCAGUGAGCCGGUCCUAUUUUAAUCAAACAGGCGGAUUUUAUUGAUCAAGUUGUACUAAAAUUUAGCAGUUUAAAAUCAAUUUAACUAUUUUUUUUUUUCAAUUAGCAUAAAUUAGUUUUAUAAAAUGUUAAAUUUGAAAACUUAAAUCAUCUAAACUUAGUCUAAAAAUUAGUAUUUUAUAAUUAAGCAUUGUUGCCAUAUGGUGUGUCCACAUUGGCGGGUUAUGAUUUGACCCGAUCCACAUAAGUUAUGGAUCAUGAUUCAUCCUAACAAGUUUAGGAUAAGUAUAAAUUAUAUGUUUCUUAUCAGUUAAGAAACAUAUCUUAUAAUGGAUAUUUAUUAUAUGUUAAUAAAUAUCCCAAUCCUUAUCCUAAUCUAUAGGAGAUUCAGGAUAUUUAGGGGUUCCGUUAUUUUAUAUAUAUGCCCCCGUUUUCUCCCGUAAAAGAGACGAUCAAAUACGAUCUAAUUCGAGAAUCCACAAAAUCUUCCUUCUUCUCUCUCCUCUUCCUCUCUGGGAUUUCCACCUACGUUCCCGGGGUUUUAGGGUGUGGACAUAGGAGGGGACUCUGGUAGCCCUCUCCGAUUGGCAUCCGUGACAUAAGGCGAUCCGUUCCGUGACGUAAGGCGUACGCGUGGAAGAAGACGAGAAACGUGGGAGAUCCAGAAGCAUCGAGAUAAGGACGAUCCAAGAAGGCUUGUAAAACAAGCAACCCGAUCCGAUUCCGGUUCCCGGAUACGUUGGCUAUCCGGUUUGUAAGUUUCCGCUGCCUAUUAUUUCCAACAAGCAUGAUACUAAAUAAUAAUAUACAUAUUUUUUAUAUACAAUAAAAUUAAAAAUAAUAAUUAAAUAUUAGUUCAAUCAGUUAUUGACCUACUGGUUGAAUCAAUGACUGUUGACCCAGUAAUAUUUUUGAAUCGCUACUCUAUCCAAUUUUUAAAGCAUUGGUGCAAAGUGCAACAAAAAAAAAAACAUUUAUUUAAUCCAAAUUAAAGAACAGAAAUAACUUCUUUGUAUUGAAUAGAUUUUUUUUUUUUUUUUUUUUUUUUUUUUUCACUUUUCCGGUUGCGAGUGGCCGAGUGGGGGCGUAUUUCAUCGAGAAAGAAAAGAGCCGAAAGGGUGUUUGUACUUCGUACUUUUCAAGAUUUCAAAAAAACAAAAGAAAGAAAGACAAGAAACAGGGCGAAAUGUCUAGACCCUAAAUGCUGCAGGCACCCACGACACAAGCUGUGGGCAGCGGCAGCAGCUUGUUUUGACUAAUCACACACAAUCAGCUUUUCUCUUCUGGCGUACUGCCUUGGACUGCCCAAGAUCUACCAAAUCUUCUCAUCUUUGUUUUCUGUUUCCUCUUUAAUUUGUUUCGCUAAGCUUAUCUUAGGCAAUCAAUUAAUUAAGCACACAUUGUUACAAACAAACCUUCAAUAAUUAAGAAGCUCACCAACAAGUAAUUAAGGAGGGGAUUAUGAGCAGUCCAUGGACCACACUUAUAGCUUGCUUUGAAAACUGCACAAAUCUGCAUUUCUCACUUAGGAACUCCCUGCGUUAAAAAUAAAUAUAUUUCAAACAGUCUAGUUAGUGUUGAAUAUGAAUAUUAAAAAUAUCGUUCUAUGUCAGUUUAAGUUAGUAAAAAAAAUAAUUAUUUCAUAUAAUUUAAUAUGGUAUCAAAGCAGAAUGUUCUGAAUUCUAGUGUCAUCAGUCUUCUAGCGUUAAUUAUUUAUUUUUUAUUUAAAUAUUGUUCUUUGGUAGCUUAUGUUUUUUUUAGGCUCCGACUGUCUCUUUUAUGUAGCCAAAUUUAUAUUUUUUCACUAAGUUAAACAGAUAACACUGCUAUUUUUCUAUAAAAUAUAUAUAUGUACUGAUCAUCAUUCCUUAGUGCGAUUGAUUUUCUCCAAAUUUUUGGAUUGGAAAUAUGGCAAGCGCAGUACGUACUUAACUGCUUAACGAAAGGUUAAAACUUCAUGCACGUACCAGAUCGAUGACCAAAAUGCUUUUCACUUCUUCAUGUUACAGUACAUGGAGGUCGCUAGAUGUGCCAUGUAGCUAGAGCAAAGCUGUGAGGCACAAAGUAGGGCUACAACGUAGUAGGUAAAGGCGUUGUGGGGUACACUUCUCCUUAAUUAACUGGGGUCUAACACUGCGCAGGUUCCUGCGUCCACACGCACUGUCAAAUCCAUGCCCACCAAGCCACCAUAAAACGAGAAAAAAAUAAAAAUAAAAACCCAGUGCAAACUCUUUUGCCCUUAACGGUUCAAAAGAGAAUAAAACUUUCUAUAUAAUUAAGCACUUGCCAAACACAAACAACCCCCCUCCCCCCCUUCUCUUGUGAAAGGAAGUUCCCACAGUCCAAUAGCUAGCAUCUUCUCCUUCCCCUUCUAACUCAGUGUGAUCUCCACCACCCUUGCUCAAAAAGAGAAAUUAUGCUUUGGGUGUUCGUAUAAAGGGGAGUGGUGGAAUUCCACUAAGUUCUUUUCUUUUUUAGGGGAAAGAGAACUACUAGGACUAAUUUGUUGCUUGCACUCUACGGCGUUUUUUUGGUAACAAUCAAUCAUCUGGGGUCUAGCAUGUGGGAAUGAGGCUAGUUGAACUGUGCAGCCAAGGAUGACUUGCCGGUAACUUCAUGAAAUGGGUUUGGAUAUAUGCAGUACGAAAAACCGGCGAGUUAUUUUUGGCUACAUAUUUGCCUCGUUUUUUCAUGCUGGAUCAAAGAUGAUAUAUAUAUAUAUAUAUCUGGAUCUGCAUCGGUUGUGAAGAAGAUUGAAUGCACGUGGCAUUGGUGAUCUAUAGACAUGCAUACAAAUGCGCCCUCUCAUUGCGUGUGAGAAAAGCACAGGUACGCUAUAUAUAUAUAUAUAUAUAUAUAUAUAUAUAUAUAUUGGUGCUGUAUUGGAUCGAAGAUACUAAUUAAUUGUGUGCUUAGUUGGCUUUGGUGGCAUAUAAAGUCUCCCUCCGUUUUGUACACUACUUAUACACAAGCAAAAUCGUGUUAGAGUACAAAUAUUUGUGCUCUUCUAAUGUUAGAUCAGUAACUUAAACUCCAAACGCUCUCUUUCAAAUCUCUUAAUUAAUUUCACUCUUUUUUUAUCUCUCUAGCUACUUCCUCCCCAGUGCACUUUGCCUUUCAACGCCGUACUCUAAUAGCUUAAAUUUUUAAAGAAUAAUUAUUAUUUCGUAUAAUUUAAAAAAUUGGUGUGCUCUUCUCUUUGUGCACGCAUAUUAGGUGCACUUUCUAAUUUGCGCACAUUGUACUAUACUGUAAUCAUUGGUGCACAUUUAACACGACAAUCCAACGCAACCUAUAUCUACUGCCUAAAGCACACAUGUUAAGUGUGCAUCUUAACUAAAGAGAAUUAGAGAAACGCACUUCUUUUCUCCUUUCCUUUUAUAAUCGACAAAACUCCACCUACCCUACGUACAAUUAACCAAACACAUAAAUAUGCGAAACAUAAAAAAAGAAGUCAAUUCGACAAUAUAAAGAACAUAUCAUAUAAUUUUGAUUAUUUUUCGAGAAAAAUCAAUAUCUUCUCAUAGAAAAAAAAAAAAGUAAAAGAAAAAAAAAAGGCGGAGGACGUGUUGUCCAAGUUGUCUAUUCAAAAUUUUAAGACGGCGCGGAUGAAUAUUUUCACAAAAAACAUAUAUGCAUGCAAUAGGCCAGGUUAAUUGUGAGUUAGCUAGCUAGGCAUGCUCAUUCUUUUUGAGCACCCUCUAAUUAAAUCCGCUCUUUCAUGCGGAUUUAAGUGAAUUUUUUUUAAAAGAUUUCGCAUAUGAAAUGAAUUAUGACUCAUCAAAUUCUCUGAUAAAUAUUUGUUGAGAAGCUUUCCCAAUAAAGCUGCGCUCCAUAUUUAUGAGUGAAUUGAAAUAUAAAGUAAAGUAUGUGGGGCCCGGGUAGACCCAGCAAUGUCGAUCCAAAUCCGCGGGUGUCUGUCGGUUACCCGCAAAUUUGCGGGUAUGGAUACCAACUUUUUCAACCCAAAAAAUUAUGAGUAAAACGGGUGGGUACCAAUUAAGUUGUGGGCAUUUUGGAUAACUCGCGGGUACCCACACAUAUAUAUUUUAAUUAUAAAAUAUAUCUUUUAAAAUAAAUUUAUUUAUUCAUCCUAAAAAUUCUAACUUUAAUUUUUUACCGCGUUACUUUUUUGUGAAAUUUUUUUACUUUAAGAUUUUAAAUAUUUUUAUUAUAUAUUAUGAUACUUUAAAUAAUCAGUUAUAAUAUACUUUUAAUAUAUNAUAUAUAUAUAUAUAUAUAUGUUUUGUACUUAUUUAAAAAUAUAAGAACAAAAAAGAAAAAAAAAUUACGGGUAAUCCGCAUACCCACCCGCCCACCCACGGGCGGGCAUGAGUAAAAAUGUUGGCUACUCAAAAAUUUAUGGAUAAAUUUCAUCCAUGCCCAAAUAACCCAGAGUACAAUGACCCGUUCGUAAGUUACCCAAUUCAUCCGUUUGCCAGAUCUAUGUGGGGUUGAAUGUGUUUGCUAGUUUGGCAGGAGCCGUGCAUGUAAACAUGUGGUACGUACAAUUAUUGGACAAAUAGACAUUUCUAGAAUUGGCAACGUAGGCACAAUAUUCUCCCUACUUUCUCAAACACUUAUUAUUAAUAAUUUAAAAUUUCUGAAUUAUAUGAAUAUUUUGUUUAAUUGGAAUUAUUCAUAAUUUAAAAUUAUACAAGAGUAUUUAAUUAAUAAAUCGUGAACUUCUUAUUUUUAUUUUGACAUAACGGAAAUUUAAUGAUUCCAAUACGGUGCACAGUGUGCAUUUUUCACUAAUUAAUUACUCUUCUAGAAGUUCCAACUUCAAAGUAAACCCUUUUUCUCAUGUGUAGUGUUCACGUUAAUUUUAAUUGCACUCCGAAUCACGGCGACCCCUCUUGUUAUUUUUUAUAUAUAUAUAUUUUAUUCAUUAUGCGACCGCUGUCAACAAAUACGGCGUCCAAACGUGUCAGUUAGGAUAGCAUCUGAUCUGACCACAAUCCUUAACCUCCACUAUUCAUAAUAUAUUUAUUUUUAAACCAGUUUGUCUAAAAGAUACAUAUUCUUUUUUUGUAUUUUUUAUUUUUCUAACUCCAUUUAGGUAUAAUUUUAUUUACAAAUAUAGUAUAUAUUACUGAUAUUAAAUAUAUAUUUAUAUCAACGCCUAAUUUCAAAAUAUAAAAUUUUCUAAAGCAAAAAAAGUAAAUUCGUAAUAUGCUUUUUUUUUAGAUUAGUUCGUCCAAAAGAUACACAUCCUCUUUUUGUGUUUUUUUUACUUCUUAUUCUUCUAACUCUAUUUAGGUCAUUUUUGUCGGCCAAUACAAGCAAUGUCAAGUAUUGAAAAUAUUAUGAUAAAAUAAAAGAUAGGUACUUAAUUCAUAAUUCUUUAAUUGAUUGAUUUUAUGAUGUUCUUCUAGAACUUAUAAACAUAUAUUUAAUUUCGUAAAAAAAUUUUAAUUUAAAAAAAUUAAGUACCAAAUAAUUCUCAAAAGUCUAAAAAUAUUGGAGAAAUUAUAUAUAAUUUUUCUGAAAUUAGGACUUACAAUUUUAUAUUUAUCCGCAUUAAAAAAAUAAAAAUAAAAUAACCAAACUCUAACAAUAAAAGACCUCUAAUCACCGAAAGUUCCUGAAGCAAGUGGUAAAGAAUUUAUGAUUGAUAUGGAAAUUUCAAAUACCAAAUUUAAUUACUUUAUAUUUCUAAUGCUAUCUCUCUCUUAAAAAAAAAAAAAAAAAAAAAAAAAAAAAAAAAAAAAGCGCUCCAAUCCUCCCAACUAAUUUCCCAACUACUUUAAACACGGUCGAUAUUAUUAUAAAAAUAAAACUCCAACAACCCAAUACAAAAAGCAAGCAAGCAAGCAAGCAAGCAAGGAACAGCGUUGUCGCGGGAUUCGAUCGAUUCUGAUAAUCUCCGCGGUGGCGAUGGGGAGAGGGGUGUUCGAUCUGGAGAAGCACUUCGCCUUCUACGGGGCGUACCACAGCGACCCCACGAACGUGCUCAUACACGUGCUGUUCGUGUGGCCCAUCUUCUACACAUCCCUCGUCCUCUUCCAAUUCACCCCUCCCCUCCUCCACCUCCCCCUCCUCGGCGUCCUCAACCUCGCCUUCGUCUUCGCCCUCACCUACGCCCUCUUCUACGUGCUCAUGGACCCCAAAGCAGGCUCCCUCGGGGCCCUUCUCUGCUUCCUUUGUUGGAUCGGGAGCGACCUCCUCGCUCAUCGAUUAGGGUUUUCGCUCGGCUGGAAGGUGCGUUUUCUUGUCUUGAUCUUCUCCUGAUUCGCUGUUUCUCGUGUCGAUUCGCUGGUAGAUCACUGGAUAUUCAAUCUUGAUGCUAGUUAUUUCUUUAUCUGCGGAUUCACAUGGAAUCAAUUCCGUGCGUAGUGUUUACUAUGAUUCGAUUUUGGUUAGGGUGAAAGUGUACCGAAACCUUUUUUUAUCUUGCUUCAAUUUAAUUUGAAACCGACCCUUUAAUAUGUCUUGACCUGAGUUGAUCUGAGUGAUUCCGAUUAAUUUGAGUAUAAAUUUUGUUAAAUUAAUAAUGUUUUGAUCAACUUUCGCGCUUCAGGCUACUGAUCAGCUGAAGAAAUUGUGAGUUGUUUACAAGACAAAUAAAUUAGUUAAUCCCAAUGGAAUUGAAUUUAAUUGACUAAAUAAUUCAAAUCAAAACAAAUCAGUUGACCAGGUGGCAAUCUGAAAAAUAGAAGUCGAGGAGCCUUAUUCACACCUGUUAGUUGUUAUCUCUAUAUUCUUUUUCUUUUCUUUUUUUUCAGGAUUGUCCUCGGGUUUUAUUAUUUGGAUCAUGCAAUUUUCUUCAGCAUUUGUUGUCUUAAGUUGGUCUUAUAAUAAGGAAUUUGGGUUUGCUUCAAGUCCUAUAAUCAUGUGUUAUGCAAUAAUUGUGACAAUUGGAGAAUCUUAGCCCGUCGCAAUCCAUCUUAGAUAACCAAAAAACACUAAUUGAUUAGCAUGACUUUGGAAUCUCCUUCAACCUUGUAUUCUUCUGCAUCUUGUUCUUAUCUUUCUCUCAUCGCUUAAUUCUUUGUGUGUGAGAAUCUCUUACAUUGUUUAUGAUGUCUGUUGUGCUAUUCUUUAGUACCUCCUCUGCCCCAAUCUUUUUUGGACUUACACAGGGUUAGUUGUAUACAAGUACUAAGCACAUUAUUUGUCUUCUUCGAUCUGUAUUUUGUAUUCACUGUAUUUGCUUAGGCUUAGGCUCUUUGUAUGAUCAUAAUGUUUUAGGAUUCGUGUAUCUGCUUACAAUAUUAGUAAUCCCACAUUAUUCAGCAAUUGUCUUUUUCUCCUCCUUGUUCGGGCAUAUUAUUUUUGGGAUUUUAGAGUUGGCUCAUAUAAUAUGUAAAUGCUGGGAAUCAUUCUAGUCGUUUGUCCUUGCCUUUCACUUUGUUUCCUGUUUGAUAGUAUUUGUUUAGUAAUCAUGAUAACUAGUUGAAUUUUGAUUUAUCAAAAAUUCUCUGUUUGAUAGCAUGGCGAUGUUUAAUUUAUCUUUAAGCUCAGGUGACCGGUGACAGAGAACUGGUUAUAUGGGAAGCUAGUGCAAAUUCUCUAUUUGUUUCUUUUAGUUUUCUAUAUGUAAGCCAUAGCUAAAAGUUGAUUGCUUCUAUUGGAUUUAGUUAGCUAUACUCUUCAUAUGUAGGCCAGGGUUGUUUUUCAUCAAUCUUAUCACCUUAAUAGUAUUUUAUAAAAGAACUAGGCAUUAAAUGACUUAGCUCUUUGCUUUACUCUCUGGGGGAUUGUGUAGUGCAUGUGAUUCGAUGGUGUAGCAAAUUUGCAGAGCUUCAGCAUGCAUGAAAUCUGCUUCAAUCUGAAUAUUGAUUUCUUAAAUUAGUUUUAUAAGACAAAAGAAGGCACUUUACAAGUUUAGUUGCUUACGCUUCCUUGUGACCGAAGAAUGUUCUAUUCCUCUUCCAGUUUACUAUCUGCACGCAAUUAAAACAUGUCUUUGACGAGGAUCUCAUUCAAGAAACUCACGGUUCUAACCUUAAAGGCAUGAAAUAGGCAAGAUGUGAGUAAAAUGAUAAGACUGAAUGCCAUCUUUUACAGUCAGGAUUUGAGAUAUCUAACCAACCUCAUAAUAUAGGAAUCUAUAUUCCAUUCUUGUGUAAAAGUCUCACUCUGAAAGAAAAAUCAAGUCCAUGAUAAAUUCAAGCAUAUAGUUGGAACCUGUAGGUUCCAUCUUUGAUGGAUAACAUUAUUAUUGCAAAACUACCACUAAAAUUUGUGACCACAAUAUUCCAAUUGAUGAGAACUUGUAAAUUUCGGGAGAUUACAUUUAAUGGGCAAAGGCUCUGCAUUACCAUACCAUCGAAAGUAUGUGGUUCAUUCACAACAUUAUUGAGUGGGUUGUUACAUGGAGAAGCUCCUUUAGUUGAAACAUCAGGGAUUCAAGCAGUUUUGCAUUCUCGUAUAUUCAAUUAAGUAUAGCUUAAAGGAAAACAUUUUUCCAUCUUGUAGCAAUUGUACUGAAAGGCAGAGUUGAGUUGGGUCUUCUAGCCUUUUGUUGCUUUGGUUUGGUUGUCAUAUUUUUAUAAAAUCUUGGUACUUGUGUUUAGCUGAGCUGUUGGGCACUGGAAAAUUAAAUCUGAUUAAUGAGUGGUCCAAUCAUGCAAAUUAGCUAGAUUAUGCAUCAGUUUGUGGAUCAGAACUUGCAGUUCUAGAAACCACUUGUUCUUUCCAUUUCUGUGCAUGAUCUUAGUAUUUUAUUGACUCCAAGACGUUAGGCUAUGUAAACAUUAAGUGCAAUGUUUUACUAGCUGUCACAAGACUUGUUUGUGAGUUCAAGCAUAAGAAUGAACUCUCAUUGUUCGGUUGUUGCAACUUUUCUACAGGUAGUAUUGGCUGCUCAAAUAUUUUGUUGGACUGGGCAAUUCAUAGGGCAUGGAGUAUUUGAGGUAAGCUUCUCUUAUGAUCAGGAUUUGGGCACAAGCUAAUAGAAAUCUCAUUCUUCUAUACACUAACCGAGAGUCAAUAAUAUCCAUGUGUUUCUGCAGAAGCGAGCCCCGGCUCUUCUUGACAACCUUUCUCAAGCUUUUUUGAUGGCCCCAUUCUUUGUUCUCCUAGAGGUAAGCAUGCCCAAUACUAAAGUGUUUGUUAGAGCCAAAGUGAAGAGUCUCACUGACUACUUAAUUGAUCCAGAUACUUCAAAAGCUCUUUGGUUACGAACCAUAUCCUGGUUUUCAUGCCAAUGUCAGUAAGAGGAUUGAAGCUGAUCGCAAGGAAUGGCAAGAAAAAAAGCAAAAGAAGAACUCCUAAGUUAUCAAUUGCGGCUCAUGCUACCAUGGUUACUUUCUGUUUUUGUUUGCAACAACCUUAUGUCACUAAACCAAGAAAAAAAAAGGAAGAAACGAAAAAGAUCAUCUUGUGAUUUGAGGACAUUUUAUUCUACGUAUUGAAGCACAGACUUACUGUUGUGUCUUUAAUAAUAUCAUAGACUCGUAGUGUAUAUUUAUGUUUAUAUACAUACAAAUCAUGUAAUGCCCAAAACUGAUGUAAAUAACUGUCUUAAUUAUUGUGUUUAUCUGCUUGGCAAUAAAUAACAGUGAUGUUACCUAAUGUAUCGAAAGAAAAAUCCCCUUGUGAGGGAGCAAGUGCUUGUUUGGUUUAGCUUUUGGAGUAGUUUCUCCUUUAUAAAACACAACAGCUAGAUUGUGUUACGGUGAGAAGUUAAAAUGAGUAUUUGAGUUCCGAAAGUAGAAAUUUUCUUGAAACCUCUGCUUUUAUUAUGGUAGAAAGCUAUUCAAGCUAAUUUAUCUCAAAAAAAUGGAAAAAUUGUUAUUGCCUUUUCACAUAGCUCUAUUUAUAGAAGUUCCAACCACGCUAAAUGGGACCUUAGUUGGAGAGUGUUAUUGCCUUUUCACAUAGCUCUAUUUAUAGAAGUUCCAACCACGCUAAAUGGGACCUUAGUUGGAGAGUGUUAUUGCCUUUUCACAUAGCUCUAUUUAUAAAAGUUCCAACCACGCUAAGUGGGACCUUAGUUGGAGAAGGAAAUGAAUCUCUUACGCUGUUUCUAAUGCUCUGCGCGGGAAAGCACACCCAUACCAGGCUCAGGCUUCUGAACUCCUCUUCCUCUCAUCACUUCUCUUACAUGCAACAUAUCAUUCCAUCUUCCGGCUCCAGCAUACAUGUGCGAGAGAAGAACAUAGUCGCUGCUGUGAUCAGGCUCCAACUCUCUGAGAUGCUCAAGAACUCGCUCGCCGAGUUCAAUGUUCCCGUGAACUCGGCACGCCCCCAACAACGUCCUCCACACCACCGCAUUCCCCUCCAUCGGCAUGCUCCUUACAAGCUCAUAUGCUUCUUGGAGAAGCCCGGCUUUUCCAAGAAGAUCGACCAUGCACCCAUAAUGCUUCAUGUUAGGAGUCACGCCAUAGUCCCUCCUCAUCAUGUCGAAGUACCUCCGCCCUUCUUCCACAAGCCCUCCGUGGCUACAGCUGCAAAGAACUCCUAAGAACAUACUGUCGUUCGGCUCUUCGAAUUCGCACUCUUCAAGCAUCUUAUUAAAAAACAAUAAUGCCUUGUUGACAUGCCCAUGCAGCGCAAGUCCUAGUAUCAUCGAGUUCCACGAGAUGAUGUUCCUGCUCGCCAUAUUGUCGAACACUCGAAGCGCACUUUCGAUGGCUCCGCACUUUGCGUACAUAUCAAUUAAAGAGUUGGAAACAGAUACAGUUUGGUGGAUUGUGUUGGAAUGAACCCAUCUUCCAAAAUCCAGAGCGCCCAAUUCCAAACACGCCGGGAGAGUCACAACCAACGUAGCCUCAUCGGGAUUGAAACCAUCUCUCCUCAUCCUAAGAAACAUCCUCAACGCCUCCUUGUACUCGCCGCAGCUCAUGUACACAUCGACGAGUGUAUUCCACGAGACCAAGUCCCUACUAGUAAUUUCUUCAAACACCUGACUCGCAGCGCUAACCUCCCUAAACAAUCCAUACAUAUGGAUCAGUGUGUUGCAAACAUAUACAUUCGACUCCAAUCCAUGCUUCACAAUGCAGCAAUGGAUCUGCCUACCCAAUUCAACCGCCGUCAUGUGCCCGCAAAUCUUGAAAAGGAAUGCGAAGGUGAAGUUAUCGGCGGCUUUACCGCGCUCUCGCAUUCUUUUAAAGAACAACAACGCAUCCUCGUCUCUACCGACUCUCCCCAAUCCUCUAAUCAUGGUGCUGUACAAGAACCCAUCCGGCCAAUUCAAUUGUUCGAACACGAGAGACGCGUAAUCCAUCGAUCCGUUCUCCGACACGCAGCAGAACGAGAUUAAUCUACCGAUCACGUACACGUGUUGCUCGAGACCGGCGGAGAUGAUCUGGGCGUGGAUCUGAGAGAGUUCUCUCAUGGUGGAGCACGAUUUGAAAAAGGAAAUUAGAGUUUCCUCCCUGGAGUCGUGGGAGUUUUCGUUGAGGCAUUUCGUCGAACAAGUUGGGGGAUGCUGGUGGAGGACGAAGGGAAGGGACGAUGAAUAUGCCUCUGAUGAAUCUAAAGGAGAGAUUGUUGAAGGAGAUGGAGAGGAGCAUAACCUGGAGGAGUUGUAUGCUUUUAAGUGCUUUGGAUUCUAUCACGAUGCUUUGAAGGAGAUGAUGCCACACGAGGCGUCGAGGUAAUGCGUUCGAGUUUCGACCCUUCUCCGUUGCGUUUCCGCAUAAACAUAUCCGGUGCGGUUGGCGCAGUUUUAAGCCACGCCCGCAUAGCCAUUGAGGUCCAAAAUGGUCGGGCCCGAUUUACUUUUGAUUAAGCCCAAGAUGUAGCAGCCCAAAAUUAACUUUUUGGGCUUUGGUUAUCUGAAAUUUCAGUUCUUUGGCAGUAAAAAUGUAAAAAAAAAAAAAAAAUCUCUUAUUAAUGCCAGCAGUGUUCUAUUGAAGUUAGCCUCAAAUCAAUGAAACUGUCAUUAUUGUGACAGUUCACACCACGGACUCAAGCUGCGGAGUUGCCACCACAACAUAUUAAUUCAAUAUAAAAGACUUGCCCGUAAAAUCUCUUACUUAUUUUAUUAGUUUUUUUUUUAAGAAAAAGAUAACAUGCUAUUUAUUUCGUUUAUAUUUAAAAAAAAAACACUAGUGGACAACAAGAUUGGUCCACUACAAUAAACCCUUUUUUCAUAUUUUUUUGCCACGUCUCAUUUGAGGUCUUUUGUUACCUCACUCAUGUAGUCUAAUUCAUCAUUCUAAUGAAUGAAACGGACAACACGCUAUCUUUUUCUAAAAAAAGUAAAAUAAAUUUAGUUAAACAUAUGAACUAAUUAGGUUUCGAAUUUGAGAUUUCAAAUACCAACCGCCAAAUCUUUUACCAAUUGCGCUAGGAAUGAUUGCUUUACUAACUUUGCUCUUAAUUAGGCAUCGUAAAUUCAUAGUUGAGCUAAAGUAGUACUUUUAAAAGUACGUAUUUACUAUUUACUUGCUAUUACUUUUUACCUCUUGAAUACAUAAGAUUUACUAUUUGGUGAUACUAUAAGUAUGUAUCUAAGGGGUGAAGAGUGAAAGUAUAUCAAUAGCAUUUGUUUUUCUAAUAUAUUGUAGCUCAACUCUCUAAAUCCGAUAUUUUUUUGAGAGAAAGAAAACAUAUUGUUCGUUCCGUUCAUUUUUUUAAGAAAUAAAUUUAGCUAAAAUUGUAAAGCAAUUAUAUUUUAAACAUAAAACAUUAGAUAUCAAUUAUUAAGCCCUUUAUCACUUACAUUAGAAAUGAUCUAACUUUUUGUGAAUUAAUGUAUUAUGGGGCAUGGCGUACUUUAUUUUCUUACGCUGCGAUCAACUAUAAAGCACAUUUUGAUCUUCACAUAUUCUUUCUGGGGCGUAGCAUUGCGAUCGAAAGAAAAGGACAAUGAGAGGUGCCUUAAAAAGUGUGGCAAAAGUCUGAGGCACAUAAGGCUUGUAAAGAAAUUAGAUGAACAGUUUCUAGUGCAAUUAAUUACGGAGGUGUACAUUCCAUAUAUAUUUUGCAAUCACUGUUCACUAGUGUUCUCUUUUGUCUGUUUGUAUAUAGCAUUGACCCAAGUUUCUUUUUAGCAAUUCACUUUACACUUUGUAUUUCUUUUGUCUUUACUUUCUUCUGAGAUAAAGUGGUCUACCGGUUCAGUUUCCAGUAAAAGAUGAACAUUAACUUCCUAAUUGAAAGUUGAAUUCAUUUCAUGGCUCAUAUGUAUAAUCUCCUGUAUCAAGAUGAUUAGAUACGGUUUAUAAAAUAAUCUUUUGUCUCCAUAAUUUUGAAUUGCUAGAGAACAGUUUUUGAUACUUUGUAUAUUCAAAUCUCCUCCUCAAAUCUAAACUCACACGAAAAAAGAAGAAAAUUAAAUAAAAGUUGAAGACAUAGAAUUCGCAUUCCUAAUCUUUUAUUCUGCUAUCAUUAAAACAACCGACUAAUCUAAAAUUUUUUAAAUUACUGGCGAAUAAUUUUUAAUAUGUUAUUUAUUAAACACAACUGUAUUUGUAUCCAGGAUAUUAGGACAAAAGAUUAUUAAUUCUCUUAUAUUUAACGAGUGACAUGCAUGCCACCACGUGUAGACAUACAAACACAUUAAUUCGUUUUCUCGGGGGGACCUCUGAAAUUUCUCCCAUGGACUGCAACUUUGCAUAAUUCAUAGGCUGAUGAGGCCUCUUUGAAUGCUUCUUUUAUCAUUGUUCUCUUUUUUUCCACCCUUCUUUUUCCUUCUCUCACUCUCUCUCCUUUAAACCAUUGUUUUAAAUGCAAAUUCCGUUACACUUGUACGUAGGCCUACACGUGCCAAACUAGUAUAAGUUUCAACUAAAUCAGCUAAAUGGCAAAAUGAAGUAAUCCAACAACACAACAUAGUGUUUAAUUUUGUACUUAAAACUUAACUAGCUUGAACAUUAUGAGCCAACUAUGCUCAAACAUUUUCUUCUUUUUAGCUGCCUAAGGCCUUGUUUGGUCUCGUUUGUGGCCAUUUCGGUGGCGAUCGCAUGUUACAUACUACAGCAUCCUAUAUAUUCGAUCGACGGCGCCAUGAAGAACUGCAAUAAUGGAAAGCACUGUAGGGAACGAGAUGCAUUUUGCGCAUCGCAAUAUAUGAUCGCUCAGUCUAGUUGAGCCAAACAAAUUAACCUUAAUGUUUUGCAUGCAUGCGUUCUACAAUGUAAUUAUUCAUUUAAAACUCGGAUUGUUUUAUUUGAUUAAUUGGGCCCCUAAUUCAAAUUAUGAAUAAAUCAAUGUAGUUAUUAUUAUUAUUUUUUAAUAAGAAAGAGAUUUAAUGCCACAGUAUAUAUAUAGUUACUAUAUAUUCAUGCAGGAGAAGAUUGUAUGGGGCGAGGGAUCGGUUGUGGGUGUGUUCCUUGGGUGGACAAGCUAAGGCUAACAGCUAGUGGUCCUUUUUCUGAAGUGUAGAAUUCCAUCUUUCUAAUUUUAUCCGAUUGGGAAAAUUAAUUUUUAAUUUGCAGAUUGGGUGCCAAUAUUCCAUGCGGUGGCAUGUUGACAUUUUUAGAACAUAGCCCAUUUGUCCAUUCAAACCGAAAAAUAAAAAUAAAAAAUAAAAACCUAUAUGCCAACUGUGAGAAAACUAUAUAUCAGCUAUAUAUAUUGUGAAGUGCUGAUAGUUUCAUAUUGGAUAUGUAGAACGCAGCGAAAGUAUUUAUUUAUAUUUUUUGCAGAAACGGCUCGUAGCUCUAGAAUGCGAUGGGUCAUGGAUCGUAGAGAUUGAUUCACAUGUUUUCGAAUCGUCCACAAAAGUCUUUUAACGCCCCAAACUCACUGUUGAUCGAGUUAUGGAAGAGCUAAAUUCAUAAUCCACCGUUCAAGACCUUCUACAAGUAUAGGUUAAUGAAGGAAGCGGUUUUUCUUUUUCACAAAGACAGCUUAUAAAUUACUCAUAAAAUUUAUGACUUCUAUUUUUUCUUCUUCUUUCUAUGAGAGAAGAGCCCCUAUAUUUAUAAGGAAUUAUAAAACUCUAAUAGGUAAGUAAAAUAUUAGGCGGAAUCAGUUUAUAAUUGUUAUUCUAAUAUAGCUAGAAUAUAUCUCUAAUUACUUUUUCAAUUUAAAAGCAAGAUUCAGUAUAGUCCAAUUAGAUAAUAUAAUAAUUAUCGGAUCGAGCCUAAUUUUGGGCGCAUCCGAUUCGGUUUAACCCAAUGCUAACAGGAUUAAAAAAGAAUUACGAUUGCAAUUCGCAAUAUAAUUAAGAGUCAGACAUCUAAUGCGAAUAACUAAAUUUAAAUAUUUUGAAUAGAUUGUUUGGAUCAAGCAUUUUAUUAUUAUUAUUAUUUUUUGAGAAUAGAUCAAGCAUUUUAUUAAUGUUAGUUGGUUAGGUUGUUUGGUAUUGGAGCCGAUUUGUUAGCUAGAAGUGAGAGACGGGUCUCACAUUGUCUGAUGAUCUAAAAAAUAAUAAGAAAAUUGCAUCUCACAGAAAGAAAUUACCAUUGAAAAUAUAAGAAUCGAAAAGUUCCAACGAGUUUUCAGUUCUAGCGGGCCGGCUUGUUACACCAACUUUGAGCCAAUGCUUCUGCAGUUAGUUCAAUGCUUAUAUUAGUUUGUAAUGGCAACUAUGCUAUGUGUUGAGGCUCACUAACAACUGUGGAAGAAUAACUAAAGCUAAAAAUUUUAGAAGAAACAGGGAUAAGGGCUUAUUAUUAUCAUUUAAUCAAAUUUGUGUUAAGCAGUGGAUUUGAUUAAUUGCAUAUAAUUGUCAUGGACAUAUAUUUGAAGUCAAUUUGUUUGGCUUUUCUAUUCUUACCAUAAAAUUCUAUAUUAUAAGAUACGAACCGUACAUACUUUUCGUUUUUUCUGAUUGACCAAUAAACCUAGCCAAUAUUAUUAUCUCAGAUAUAAAUUGUUAUAAUUUGAUUAUUAUAUAUUCAGUCUAAAUUUGUUCUUAAUAUAUCUGGCAUGUAUCGACCGUCUCUAAAACAAGUGGCAAAGGGCUUGGUGAUUGGUACCCGAGACCCAAGUUCGAAUCCUAAUUGAUUCACAUAUUCAGCCAAGUUUAUUUCUAAAUGAAAUAAACGAAGCGGGUAGCGUGCUACUUAUCUCUCAAAAAAAUAAAUAAAUAAAUAAAUCUGGCAUGCUUCGAGUAAAAUUUGGUAUGUUAAUAUUAUUUUCUAGACAUUUUGCGGCGAACUCACAAAUCAAAUGUGUAUGUAAUUCGUACAUAACUGAGCAGUCAAAGUGGAUUGCACGGACAAUGACUCCGCAACGUACAGUUGCAAAGGGAGGUGUUAUCUUUUAGGAAGGAGAUGGACAAAGAGUAUUAAUAUACAAUGGUGGUCCCUGGGACCUUGGCCAUGCAAUUCAACACCAUUAUUUAAUGACAUAAGGCCAUUCCAACCUUUCCAACCUUGCAGGGCAAAUUGCAGGGUAUGUUUCUACUUUCCAAUUGGAUUUAUACAUGAAAAGUUGUUUAGUCUUCUUCUACUUCUGCUUUCAGCUUCAGUUAUUCUACAUUAAACUGUGAUGGUAAAUAAAAUUAUGAUUAGAACUUCUGAUUUUACUAUAAAGUUUACUUAUCGAGAAGAUUUCUAAGUAAAGGCUAAAAUUUUUCUAUACGCCCUGUGCCACGAUGUCAAAAAUAGGUUAGGUUCAGAUUGAGAAAAUCACAAACUGGUUUAAGCAAAUUGGGAAGUUUUUUUUUUUUUUUUUUUGACAAUCUUGUCCUCUGGUUGUAGCUAAUGAUGUGUCUCGCCAAAUGAAUUAAUCAAUAAUUCCUUAUUAAUGGCAUGGUAGGCAAAUUAGUCCAUGGUCAAUUGGGUUGGUAGAGCCAAAGCCACCUACAUAGCUCCAUAGCAAUAGCUCUACAAUAUAUCUAAAUAAGAAUAGGAAUAAGCACCAUUUCCACCCCUAAAAUCCCUACCCCAUCAUUUCUUAUUCUCCACUAGAAGCCAAUAACUCUCUUAAUUCAUAAGCACAAACUAAGAAUAGUAACUACAAUUUAAUUACUCCUAUAUGAUAUAUAUAACACAUUAUGGAGAUUAUCCUUUGAGAGAGAAAAACCCUAAAAAGGAAUCCCUGUGUGUAAUUUUCUUUUAUUAAUUUAGUAAAAAGUCACGCCACACAAUUUACUGCGUCAAAAGUCGGAACCGUUAUUAUAGUUGUGGGCCCAAGUUAUUUCCCUUAUGUUUGGCCCUGGCCCAUUAUGUGCCGGCACUGCUUAAUUCCCAAUUUUACCCCUGCCCGAGAGUGAUAAUGGGCCUCUUACAGAUAGUUAUUAUUUUAUUACAGGGGUAAGAGGGUCAUAACACAUCUAAGAAAAUUGUGGGCAAAAAUUUUAGGAAAACUUUAAAUACCACCCAGUGGUUUCGCACGUUCUCACUUCAGUACCACGUGGUUUAAAGUGUAUCAAUUUAGUAUCCUGUGAUUUUUUUUCUUUUUAUUAUCUAUUUACUAAUUUUUGUUGUUAAAUUAAUGAUAAAAUUAAAACUAAAAUGUAUUAAAGUGCAUAUUCGAUAAAUCUACGUGAGGUAUCUAAAGUUUUUUUGUAUAUAAUUUAAUGAAAUAUUAACAAAAGAGCUGACAAAAAGAGAAAAUAAAGUCGUAGAGUACUAACUUGAUACACUUUGAACUAUAGGGUACUAAAAUGAAAAAAUACAAAACCACAUGGAUGGUAUUUGAAGUUUAUCCAAAAAUUUAUGAAGACCCCCCUCAACUAUAUAGGUCGUCAUAAAUUAAGACUUUGAACUGUUUUCUAUUUUUUUUAAAAGUUUUUAAUUUCUCUUUUUUUUGUCAUAUAAUUUGGUAAUUCACGCCUCUCGAAGCAGAUUUACUUUGUUAAUACUUCACGAUCAAUAGCUAACAAAAUUGUUAAUUUGGGUAAAGUUUUUAUUUUAGUUGACUAACAUAAUUUAAAUCACUAUUUCAAAACAAUCUGGCUGUUUAGUUAGAUGUAAUUAGAAAUAAAAUAUAAUUAAAGAAUACGCGCAACUAAAAACACAAUAGUUAUAAUUACUUAUAUAUUAUUUAAUUAGAUGCAGUUGAAAGCAUUACAAUUGUAAACAAUUUGUUUUAUUAUAUGUGGUUAAGAAAUAUAUUUAUAUUUUUUAUUAUUAUAUAUUGUGGGAUGAGAUUAUCUAUAUGAUAAAAAAUAUAUUUUUUAUUUGAAAAAUUAUUAGAAAGGUAAACUUACUUUCGUCUAAAACUACUCUCUUCAAUUGUUGUAGUCGGAAUUAUGGCUAAUUGAGACGUAAUUCCAAAUUAAGUCUUCUCUUACCGUUCCAACCGCAGCAAUUAAAUUCAAAUACAUCAAAACUAAUUAAACAACAAAUUUAGAUUUGAAUAUAAUUAUAACUGUGUGCAACCAAACAGUCGCUAACAGUUGAGGAGUCUCCAUACAUUUUUACCAAAUUUAUAUCCGGCACCCCUAAAAAGUUCUGAACUUUCUCAUUUACCUCUCUCAGAAAGUUAACAUUAAAAAUUAAUUUUUUACAUUUCAAGUUAUUUCAAAUAUAAUAAACUGUUAGGUUAUCCCUUUUGAAUAUACUUUUCUAUCAUCAUCAACUUUUUUAUUUGCCUUUAAAUUAGGGAUAAAAAAAAAUAUUUUUAUUUUUAAUCUUUUAAAAUAUAUUCAUAUAUCAUCACCGGCUUUGCUUAUUUGCCCUGAAAUUAGUGGCAAAAAAAAUAUUUUAAUUUUUUUAACUCCGAUAAAUAUUUAACUCAUGUCUAAUUCGAGAUAACUUAACGAAUGAUAACUACAAGAUAUUUUUAAGUAACAGAGAAAAAACAUAUAAAGAGAAUAUUAGAAAUAAAAAAAAUAAAUUAAAUAUUUUUAAAGUUGUGAGAGGUACAAAACCAAUUAUUCCAAUUUAUAUUCCUGCUAUUUAUGCUGCUGACCUUUCUCCUUCUCCUCGCCCACCUCUCUCUCUCCUCCCCUUCCUAUUAAUCCUUCUGCACCUCUCUCUCUCUCUCUCUCUCUCACACACACACACACACACACACACAGACCUCUUACUCUUACUCUUACUCUUACUCUUGCACUCCACAACUGGAGCUUCCUCUUCUUACUUGCCUGUGCGUGAGAAGAGAGUGACAACAUGGGCAGGUCGCCGUGUUGCGAGAAGGUGGGACUGAAGAAAGGCCCGUGGACGCCGGAAGAGGACCAGAAGCUCCUCGCCUACAUCGAGGAGCACGGCCACGGGAGCUGGCGCGCAUUGCCGGCAAAGGCCGGUAAGCUCCACGUGGCCUCUCAAAUAUUAGUUCUGUUCUUGACCACAACGUACAGCGCUUAAAAGAGAUCUGCUGUCUAGCCAUAGUAGGCUACAUUAAUUCUGCGUCACUUAUUAAUUGAAAAAACAACCUCAGAUCUCUUCAAGAAGCUCUUUCACAUCAUUGUAGACAAUGGCUGUUUAACCAAUUCUCUAUAUAUCUUUCUUGUUUUCCUUUUUUUUUUUUUGAAAAAAGAAAAUUAUAGUAAUGAUAGUAUUGAGUCUCUGCAGGUUUGCAGAGGUGCGGAAAGAGUUGUAGGCUGAGAUGGACCAACUACCUGAGGCCUGAUAUAAAGAGGGGGAAAUUCAGCUUACAGGAGGAGCAAACUAUUAUCCAACUACAUGCUCUGCUUGGUAACAGGUGAUCGAUUAUAUAUAUUUUUUCAAUUACUAAACUCAACUACUACUACUACUAAUAAUAAAAAUAACAGUAUCUGCGUGCGCACACAUUGCAUGUGAAAAAUUCUCGGAGGGUAGUAAAAAAAUGUCCUAUAAUUCUUCAAAAUUUACUAUUAUUAUUAUUUUUUUUUUUUAUUUCAAUUGUGAGAGCUUGAGUAAACUACUGUAGAUAUGUUGUUGUACAUUUGUACUGCGACAUUUGCUGCAUGUCUGAUGUUAAGGUGUCUCAGGUUCGUGUGUGAAUUCAUGCUACUGUACAUGUAUAUGUUGUCGAGCCCAUAAUUUUAUCUCUUUAAGUUGAAAUUUUCCAUGCUCAGAUUGUUAUAUAUAUAAUCAAGUAUUUAAGAACACUUUUUUUCUUUUCUUUAUCUAUUUUUGUUUAAGAGUGAAAAACUGCAGUUAUGUCAUUGACAGAGAAGUACAAAACGAUUUUGUACUAGUAAUUUCAGCCAGACCCUUUUUCUUGUUUAUAAGUAAAAAAAAAAAAAAAGAAAAAAGUUUAUGGAAAAUAAUACUAUCAAAAAGGGCCAAAUUUGGCUAGUUGAUAGUGAUCAAGUUCAACAAAUUACUCCACAAACAUCCAAACUUCAUUAAUGCUUAUAAGUAACAUUAGUUUUGCUCACAACAUAUUGAAACCAAUCUUCCAGAUGGUCAGCUAUAGCUACCCACCUACCGAAAAGAACGGACAACGAGAUCAAGAACUACUGGAACACCCACCUAAAGAAGAGGCUGGCGAAGAUGGGCAUCGACCCGGUAACUCACAAGCCGAAGAACGAAACCCUGGGCUCGCCCCAAGGCUACUCCAAGAGCACGGCCAACCUCAGCCACAUCGCUCAGUGGGAGAGCGCGCGCCUUGAAGCCGAGGCUCGGCUUGCGAGGGAAUCCAAACUCCGAGCGACAUCCCUCUCUGCCACUCUCCGCACGACGGAGGGGUCACCGACAUCCACAUUGAGCUUCUCAGAGAAUAAUAACAUGCUCCGUGCUGCGAUCAAUGGGCCAGGGAGUGGAGAAUUGGUAGCAGAUGAAGAAGUGGAGUGGAAAUGCCUCGGAAAGAGGACGAACACCGACUUCUUGGGCUUCCAGGUGGAUACGGCGACGACUUUGGCUUUUGGCGGAGAAGUGCAGUGGAUUCCAGAAACAUCCGAUGGGGAAGUCGGCGCCGGAUUCACUGGCAUGCUGCUGGAUAAUUCGUCCGACGUUGGUGGUGGCGAAUCCAAUAAUGCACGCGGAGGGAGCUCUAUUGAGGAGGGGGAAGAGAGCGGGAACUACUGGAAUAGUAUCUUCAACUUGGUGAUUUCAUCGUCCCCUCCGGAUUCGCCAUCGGUAUUCUGAAAAAUGAAACCUGUCAAGAAUCUUGAUCCAAUGAGUUCAUUUGAUUCUUACAAGUGGUUUGAUUAACUCGGUCUUAAGGCGGCCCGAGUCAAUUCAAAUUGGUAGAAAUGUACUCAGAAAAAAAAAAGGGGGGGUGGGGGUGGGGGUGGGGGUGGAAGGAAAAAAGCUAGAAGGAUUCAGUGAAUUUUUUUUAUAAAAAAAACAAUCAUGUAAUAUUAUUAAUUCCUUAUUAUGGUAGGUUGCAUAUUGCUUUUCGUUCAUGGAGUAAUGUUGUAUGUUAGUAAUAAGAACAAUAACAAUGUACUAGAAACACUGCUGUUGUAAGAAAUUAAGUGCCCUGAGGAUUUCUCCUCCACGGUGGGGUCGGUGCAUUUAAUUAGUACAGGACUUUACAGUUGUUUGUUCAGUGUCUACGUUUCUCUCCGUCUCAAGCAGUUUUUUCAAUUAAUUUGCAAGUCCUUACAUUGAAAUGAUUGUAAAUUUCGACACUACCUAUCCGUCAUAUUCAUUAAGUCAACAUCAAGGGCCUUCACUGUUCUUACUAGCAACAUAAAUACAGAGGUAAGAGGACUCGGCCAUUGAUUACAUUAGUAUACUGAUGAUGAUUUUAUGAAGGAACUUUAUGAAGAAAAUAUGAAAGAACUUUGCGAAGAGUAUGCAUGCGGAUUUGCACUGUAAUUAGCACUGUUAACUCAGAACUACAUGUCACACUCAAUUUCGUUCUUCAGUUAUUUCAUAAUAAGAACGAAAGGAAAGAAGCUCGCUUUAAAAAUGAAUAUGGGAAACUCAGUAUAAAACAUCUAUAAAAAGAACUCUGACGAUUAAAGGGUAGGAAUUCUGGUACUUUCAUUAUUAUAAAGUCAUGAGAAUCCACUGACUAGUAGAAAAAAAAAUACAAUCCAAUACAAACGAGAUCAGAGAAGGUUAUAGCAAAUAUUCUUUCACCCAUAAAUCAAGAAGGUUAUUUCUGCAGGUCAAACCUAUUGUAUCGAAACUACCAUAGUGAAACCUUUAGUCUAAACAGAAUAAAUGAUCGUCAUAAUGGCGCUUUGUGACCCAACUUCUCAACUCUGCUCCCUCUGGUAACAUGUAAAAAAGUUUCACUUUUGGUUUAAUAAGCCCGGACAGAUAAAUAGAUAGAUGAACCAAUGAAGCGAGAUAAGAGAUGAAACACAAACCUGGCACUGAAGGAAAGGAAUACGUACUCUCGGUCCCAUUGAAACCGUUGUCAGUCGCCAUCGCUUUAUUUAAUUCCCAUGUUGUUGCCUCGCCCUUUUGCCCAUGGCUGCUUCUAAUCCAACUCUGCAAACCAGUCGGAAAGGAUAUACUUUUCUCUCCACUCGCUAUUGUCCCUCCCUCAUUUAAAUGCUUUGAUGAUCACCGUGCCACCAUAAAGGUGCCUGUCUCCAUAAGAUAUAUUUUUAACUUUCGGGCGAUGGACUUAAAGGUUGCUUCGUAGUGCAUGUAUUACAUAGCACUAGAGCUGAACAUGGCUGAAAAAGAGUCAACAGACAGGUUAAACCACGAGAAACCAACAUGAUUAACAUGACUGUAGUCAAAAGCAAUUAUUCACAAACAUUGUAAAGCAUGACCUUUAUAACUUACGAGCUUCUAAAUAGUAAAACUAGAAAGCAGUGACUAGAAGUAAACACAAAAUGUAGAGCUGGAUCUACAGUGUUCUAAAGAUGCUGAUACAAAAUACUACGUGGGUCCUAUCAAUGAAUUGAUUGCGUGGUUUACCACGGCUUGAUGUCAAAGACACAGAAACAUCAUUUAAAUGCACAACCAAGGACCACUCUGUUAACAAAAAAAAAAAANAAGGACCACUCUGAAAAAAAAAAAAAAAAAAAAAAAAAAAGUUUUUAGAAGGUUAGAGGAAGAUAGAAUAUCUCAGAUCAGAAGCAACCAAAGGGCCAAUAUCAAUAUGCCAUGAGAACCCGGAAAGAUAAAUCUUGCACGCUGGGUGAUUACUAAUAGUAUGGUUUGAGAAUGAAGAAUAUUGGCAUAAACAAUAAUAUGCUUCCAGUAGGUGACUGAUCUUAAAAUGAAAGAUGAGAUAUGUUCAAGAUGAAUAAAAGCCCUGAACUAUAAUACAGUAAAAUAUCAUGAAACAAACUAAAUGAUUACUACAGUCAUAUUAUUCAGUUGCUGAGAUCAAAAGGAUGGCCUCCCUUUGUUGGUACCCCAAAUCAAUUGGUCCUAUUUCUUCAGUCUGAGCCACAGUAGGUCGGAAAAUAUUAAGCCCAACUUUGGUUGAAACUUGAGAGCAAGAAAACAAGACUUUUUUGUGAGGCCCAAUCGGGCUGCAUUUCAAUUACUAACAACAUGCCAGCCCAAGCUCAGUCCUCUUCACUUCAGGCUGUACUACUCAGCCAAAGGCCUACAGAUGGAGUACUUGUACUGAUGCUUUUUCACAGCAAGCAACUCAUACUACCUUGCCAUCUUCAUCUGUCACCAUCUGAUACAGUUUUCUUCCUAGUUUCAUCCUCACAUGUUCAUGCUCAGAGUCUUCUACUACAUUUAAGAAUUUAUAGUACAGAGCAAUUCAUUGUACCCAACUCAUCAAUAUAAUCCGUUGUUUGCUUGGAGUAGUUCAUAGUCCUUGUUGCAUCCUCAAACAUCUUAGCUGCUCAGCAGACAUAUUUUAUAUGAAUCAGCAAACACGAGAUGAUUGUUACAUUGAUUGGCGGUGUUCAGCCUAAACUAAUUUCAUUACAUAUAUACCAAGGUGGCAAGGCACUAAAAUAAAACCAAUAUUUCGGACAAACCAGAACAAAUUCCAACGCAUUUUCGCGGACAACUCUUUUCAAGGCUUUAAGUUUGACUCGCUCAUAUGAAGCUAGAACUCUAGAUGCAUUCAAAGGCUAUCAGAACUUUUUAAGUUUGGUUGCUCCGCACACUGUGAUUGGACUAGGUAGAACAACUUUUGAGUUCUCAAAGCCCUCGACCUAUGACAACAUAAGACAAUAAUACAAACUCCUAUUUCAAGGAGAGGUUAUGAUGUCGGAUACCUUACAUUAGAGUUACAAACGGAUUCAUUCAUAUAGAACUAAUCAUUUCAGCUUGCCUCCGAGAUAAAUUCUGAGCAAGGUAUAAUUGCACAUGAGUCUCACUCUGCUGCAUAUCAUCUUACUACACAAGUGAAAUAGACCCAAGAGAAAUCGACCCAAAUAGACCUCCUUUUUGAAAUAUUUCAAGCUCAUACAGGUAAAAAUAAUUUAGAAUUGUACACAUUCAUAACAAGUCAAAAUUGAAACUAGGUAAGCAAGUACAUAAUUGAAACUAGGUGGCACGCAUGUUCAACUAUGGUAAAGGAAGAACCAAAGCACAAGAAAACACUAUGAUUUUUUAACUUUGAGAGAUACCAUUAAUUGGAAUGACAAAGUAACAAAUCUAAACAAAAAUAAAACUGUUACAGCCUGUAACGAGCAUCUUAUGCAUGUUAGUGAUGCAAAGAUGCAUUCUUCUUUCAAUAGAUCACAUGAAACACUGUGUGAAUGAAGAUAUAAACUCAAUACAAUGAACCGAUCUCACCUAUCCAUUUUCAUACAUUAAAUCCCUUCCACUUACUGAAGCUACCGAGCUCCCCACCCUCCGAAACCGCCAUCCCAAUGCCGGUUCUCCCACUCCUACUACUACCACCAUAAUAAAGCCUCCACUCAUCCCCCCCUUCCACUCGGAUCAAGCACGGAUCUCCGAUCCCUUGAUUAUCCCAUCCAUUAUCUUCCGUUGAAGCACUUAGUAUCGGCCCAUCACCACAUCUCCUCCAAUUCUUCAAUCCAUCGACACUCUCCGCCAACCCGAUACUCGUUCGGCCAUUUCCACAAACACCUUCAUACACCAUAACAUACUUCCCAUCCUUCUGGUCCCUCACAACAUGCCCGCACCGCACGCCACCCUCGUCGAAACACCCGGCGGCUCCGCCGUCGAGCACUUUCCCCAAUUUCACCCACCGAAUCCCGUCCCUCGACCUGGCGAUCCCGAUCGCAUACCGCCCGCAAUUCACAUCGAACGAAUGGUAGUACAUCCGCAAAUCGCCUCCCCCGUGGUAUACCACCUUCGGGGAGGAGACGAACAACGAGUCCCACUCUCUGGGAGCCCCGACGUCGAUAAGCGCACCGCUGUGGUGCUCGCCUUCUAUCCGCGCCCAAUGGCGACCGUCCUGGCUCACGGCGAGCCCCGGGAGCGACUUGGAAACGCCGUUCUCCGAAGGAGCCGCGUUCGGGAACGCGACCUUCUCGGGGCCGAACCCGGUGUAGUAGAGCCAGUACACGGCGCCGGGGGUUCGGAGCUUCGCACUGGACAUGAUGAGCACAUCGGACGGUCGAACGCGCUCGGUGUCGAACGCCCACCAAUCGGUGCUCGGGCCCAUCACGCGGCCCACGUCGUCGCCGCUCGCGACGUCGCCGGAGCCGCGUUCCCAGUGGACGCCGUUGUUGGAAACCGCGAUUCCGACCGCGUCGGCGCCGCCGCGCGGGCCGAGGCCGUGGUACCACAUCAGCCACCGCUCGCUGGCGUCGGUGAGGUAGCGCUCGACCACCGGGGAGCCGACCACGUGGCAGUCCCAGGAGGCGCGGGCGGUGGGGCCCGCGUCGAACACCAGGCCAUCGGAGGGCGGGGACGAGAUGGACGGCGGGGAUUUCGGAUCGGCGGCGCGCGAGCGGUGGACGCGGCGAGCGGGGGACCGUAGGAUUGAGGAGGAGGGGGUGCGUCGUGGGACGGUUUUGAGCGGAAGGGUUGUUGUGGUUUUGAUGCGAGUGUUUGUGUUUGUGGUCGAGGGGCGGUAUGCGGCCACCGCAGCUGCUGCGGCUUCCAUGUUUUUGGCGUGCGGAGGGAACGGUGGGAUAAAGCGCUUCGCAACGAAGCGGAUAACAUUGUCAUUAUUGAUAGACCACUACCAGUAAGGUUUAGGAGGUCAACUUUGGACAAGGACGUGUUGUUAAUGAGAGAUCAAUCUGCUUAAAUUAAUCACUGGAUUGACUAAUGGCUAUGUCUCCUGGAGAAAUUCGACAAGUGCUUUAAUCUCAGGAUUGCGUGUGGUGUUUGAAAGUAAAGCACACUAUCUGCUUAAUUCUGCUAGAUCUUAUAUCAAAUUCUUUUUUCUUCUUCUACUGUAAAAAUGAUUAAAUCAACACCAAAUAAGCUCUAAUUCAUGUCAAGGAAAUUGGACAAACAAAUUAUGCAAAAGUCAUUGGGAAAUAUUUACGAAACAAAUUCCACUAAUUAACAGUAAUUAAAAAAUAUAAAGAAAUCACCGGUUGGGCCGAAGAUAAUUUUGUCCGAGCUCAGCCUAAAUAAUACGGCCCACACAUGAGCCUCCACCAAGUUUCGGCCCAUUAAAUACCGCCGCACAAAAUUAUGUGUAGACUAAAAAUCCUGGAAACGGGCGAAGAGAGAAGGAACGAAGUCGAAGCCAAAAGUCACCCAACCCAUCUCCUCCUACUCUCCAAUUCUCAACCCCUUCGAUCUCCACUCGUUUACUAAGGUACUCUUCGCUUUCUUUCUUUUUUUAUUUCAUUUAAUUUUAAGGCUUAGAUUCCUUGUAAUCUCGUGUGCUAGGGUUUCAUUUGAAUCCCAAAAUUCAUACUGCUCACUUUUUACUCUGAUCGAAAGCUUGAAUCCUAUAUAAGAACCCUAGAUCAACCCAUUGGUAUGAUUCACAACGAUUUGUUUGUUGGAUUUAUGAGAAUGAUCAUGCUUACAGGAGUAAAAUUUGCUUCUUCAGGAAGCUUCUAGAAGGAGAUGGGGAAAGACUCGACGGCGAAGGAGCCAUCAGGAAAGGGCAAGGGGAAGCAGGCUGCCGCCGGGGGCGAAGAGAAUGCUUCGAAGGGUAAAGGGAAGGGCGGCAAGGCGGCCGAUGGUCUCGGCACCUGCACUUAUGUCAAAGGUUUUAUUUUUCCUUUUAUUUCUAGGCUAUCUAAUUUUGUCCAUUGUAACUAUCUACAGGAUUAAGAUUUAAUUGUUCAUAAUUGAGGAUUAGUUGCAGAAGCAGGGAGGUUGUGAUUUAGUUACUCUUUGCCUGAGUUGUAGUAUUUGGAACUCAUCGGAAUUGUUUGCAUGAUAUUCUAAUUUUGGUCAUAAGACCCAUUUAAUUUGUACUGUUGCAAUGGUCGUGGAGAACAUGUCGCGCAACCUCUUUCCUUUCUCUUUCUCUGUUUCUCUCUACACAUGCAUGACACACACACAUAUGCAUAGAGACAUCUAAGAAUGGGAAAAUAAAGAUAUAUAACUUCUUUGUGCACAUUUGUUGACAAGUUUAUUCUUGAUGUGAUUCUGCCUGAGACUGAGGAAGAUAAAAAAAUUGACUUUUUUCCUAUGUGGACUCUGUUGAGAAGUUUAUCAAAGCUAAUAAGUUUUCUUCAAGUAAUUUCUGAAUCAAAUGCAUACCAUACUCACUUUUUUCUGAAACACAAAUCCUUGCUGUUCAUUUCCGGAUCAAAUGCAUACCCUUUACCAAGUUUCGGAGUUUGGAACAUUUUUAGCUCUUGCAAAGACUUCUUGUCUUUUGACAAAGCGCAAAAGGCACUGAUAGUCCUAUCUGUUAAAGGAAGUUACUUUGCAAUAUGGUUUUUCUGCAUAUAACUUUUUUUUGAAUAGUAAAUCAUAACAGCAGCUGUUUUAACUUGUUAAAGAUGCAACUUAAUUUCACACUUAGAUGUCAUAAAAACAUGACACAACUUGAAUUAUUACUCCCUUUGUCAUGAUUGAAAAUUCGUUGGAUCCUAGAUACUUCAAGAAUAGGUGGCCUAAUAGACAAAACUUUAGCAAUAUUCGAACUAUAUUUCCUUUUACUGAUAUUUUACUUAUUUCCGUAUGAUGGUUACAAUGAUUGUCCUGUAUGACGUGGUUUUUACCGCUCCAUAUAAUUAAUCCUUAAUUAUUUUCUUUUCCAGCUAGGCAUAUUUUAUGUGAAAAGCAAGGGAAGAUUAAUGAGGCCUACAAGAAGCUGCAAGAUGGUUGGCUAAACAACGGAGACAAAGUUCCUCCUGCUGAGUUUGCCAAAGUAAGCCAGAUGACUAACUAAUUGGGAAUCCAGAAAUACUCAGGAAACUAAGUACUGUUGGCUUGCGAAGCAUUGAGGCCGCCCUCGCCUAAUAUAUCUGAAAUGCUGUCAUAUAUAUAUUUUUUAAAGCUUAAUAUUAUUUAUGGUUAACAAAUAGGCUGAAUAGCUAAUAUUCUUAACAUCCUUGAAAAGAACGAAAAGGUUGCUUCUUGUAUUGAUGUAACUUUAUAAUUUAUUUGGUUGUGGCGAUAUCAGAUAGCAGCAGAAUAUUCAGAAUGCCCAUCAGGAAAGAAAGGGGGUGAUCUUGGGUGGUUUCCCAGAGGGAAAAUGGCUGGCCCUUUUCAGGAUGUUGCUUUUAGCACAGCUGUGGGAGCUACCAGUGCUCCGUUCAAGUCUACGUAUGCCCCGUUCAUGUCCUUUUCUCACAAUUCAUUACCAAGCUCAUGUUCCUCUUAUAUAUUUCUGUGAGGAUGUACUCGUUAGAAAAUUAAUGCAAAAACAAUACCAGUAUUCUCGAACUUUGCGGUUGACCGAAUGCUGUGUUUGUUUUUGAAAAUGCCCCUUGUUUUUCUUUUCUACUACGCUAAUCAUAUUUACGGGUUUCAUGCAGGCAUGGCUACCAUAUUAUCCUAAGCGAGGGGCGGAAAAACUGAUUUCUGUUUCGCCUUCCUAAACUCUGUGGACAAUGUGGUGACCUGUCAAGGAAGCACAGGAAUCUAGUAAAAUUCGAAGGACAAGCCUUUGUUCUUUAAGAUCUAAUAAGCAGAGGAAUCUUUGGUGUAACCUUCUAAGGGGAUUUGAACUUGUCUAAGUAUUAUUUGGCGUGGUUUUGCUGUAAAGUGUGUUUGGUGCAAGUAACUUCAUGUAUGUUUGCAUCCUUGCUAUGUAAUUUGAAGGAAUCGAGACUUGUGGCAUUUCAAUCAGAGUUUUUCAUUUGAUAAAAUCUCCUUGCGAUGGGCCACUAAAAAAAGAAAAAAAAAAAAGGAAAAAAGGAAAAAAAAAGAGAGGAACUUUUUAAGCCGUGCAGGAAUGUUGGUUGCAUGCGCUUCAUGCGAGAGUUUCGUUUAAGGGUGAUAACAAAAUUAUGCAUGGAUCUUCCUACUGUAAGAUUUUACGGUUGAUUUAUUAAAUCUUUUUUUUGUUGAAUUUUUCAAAAAAUUAGAAGAAUGACGUAAAACCAUUCACACAAUAUCGCACUUUUUGAAAUUCUCUUGUGAUCUGAAAUUACGCUACUGUAGAGAUAUUGGAACAUUCUUUAGCCCUUUUGAAAAAGAAAAGUUUUCUAGUACCAAAAAAAAAAAAAAGGAGAGCGUGGUGAUGCUAUCCGUUAUCCAUGUAACCAACGGUCAUGCUUUAAAAAUCCAUCGCUCCUCCCGCACUCACUUCCCAGCGGGAGUAGCAACCAUGGCUCUGCAUCAUCUUCUUCUUACUCCUCCUCAUCCUUUCUCCUUCUCUCCCCCUCUUCUUCCCCUCCUCACCCCUUUUUCCAGCUCUACCCAUCGCUCCAUCUCUCUCCUCACCACCACAAACCCUAGACCAAAACUCUACUCCACCGCACUCCGCCCCACCCACGCCCUCCUCCAAACCCUAGAUUCCGGCUCCGUCCCCUCCGAAUCCGCGCUCGGUGACUUUUCCCAGUGGCUUCGCAAGAACGGCGCGGUGGGCUCCUCUCCACCUCCCGUGAAGCCGAGCUUCGUCCCCGAGGGCUUGGGCCUUGUCGCCCAGAGAGAUCUCCCCAGGAACGAGGUGGUGGUGGAGGUCCCCAAGAAGCUCUGGAUCGACGCCGACACUGUCGCCGCCUCCGCCAUCGGGCGCGUCUGUGGCGGCCUCAAGCCCUGGGUCGCAAUCUCGCUCUUCCUCCUCAGGGAGAAGGCGAUGGGCGAUGCGUCGCCGUGGCGUCCCUACCUCGACAUCCUUCCGCGCCAAACCGAUUCCACCAUCUUCUGGUGAGAUAUGCCCUUCAACUGUUCCAUUCCUCUGUUUAAUUGUUCGGUUUCAUGCUGAUCUCAAGUGUCAUUUGCUACUUCCAGUGCAGGUCGGAAGAGGAGCUUCUGGAGAUACAAGGUAAGAUAAAAUCUCUGAUUUUAUAUAUAUCUUACGAAGAAGGAAAUAUCUGGGUGAUUGUUUUGCUAUUUGGAUGGAUUAUUUUGGCUAAGUAGUUAGCUACACAAAUCGAGUAUUGCUAUUUGGAUGGAUUAUUUUGGCUAAGUAGUUAGCUACACAAAUCGAGUAUAAAAAUUUAUCACCUGGUAAGGUAUACUGUAUACACCUACUAAAAUACAGCAAAGGAGUAGGACGUAGAACCCUUCUUAGUGUCAUGUACUGCUCUGUACACUAGAUAAUUGAAUUCCUUACCCUCCAAUGUGCCACACAAAAAUAUCGCUUCUUAAAAAUGAAGAGAAGGAAGCAAAGUAUUGGAGUGCAAAAGGAUAGCUGAGUAGCUAAGUUUGUUUAUAGUUGGCUGUGUAUCACUUGGAGAUUGUUUAUGAUGGGCUCUUUUACUUCAAGCGACUAAAAUGGAUUAAGUUAUGAAAUUAAUUACGAAAUUAUUACUUUAUUGUCAUCAUUAUGCACUUACCUAGUUACGAUUUGUUAAUAAGUGUUGCCUUAGUACAGUAAGUUUCUUUCAGUUGGUUGUUUUGGAAAUAGUGUCGAACCAUAUCAGGAUUCCCAUUUUUGGCCAGAAUAAUGGAAUUUAUACAGUAAUCAUGUACACAAGUAGGAGUCUUUGUUACCUUACCAAGUUAAUAAAAGAAAUUAUAGUUUGCAGCUCAUACGUCUCCUGGUUUAUUUGGUACAGUCAUUUCACGUGUUCGAUCCACUUAAAUUAUUUUCCACCUUGUUUUUCUGACUUUUUUGUUGUAGCUAAGUGAUGCUCUUUUCCAUCAACAAACAUGCCGACAUCUCUAAAAUAUAUCCUUUGCAGGAACUCAAUUAUUAAGCACAACAAUCGGCGUAAAAGAGUAUGUGAAAAGUGAAUUUGAUCAGGUUGAAGAUGCCAUUAUAGUUCGAUACAAGGAUCUUUUCCCUUCGACUAUAACAUUCCUUGAUUUCCUGUGGGCAUUCGGAAUACUCAGAUCAAGAGCAUUUCCACGUCUCCGUGGGGAAAAUCUUGCUCUGAUACCGUUGGCUGACCUGGUAAUAUCAGUUCUAAUUAUUUCUUGCGCAUUAUUAUGAAUUGCUACUAUUAUAUUUAAAACUCCAUGUAUGUGGAAAUAAUCUGAAUAGGAUUGAUAUGUGGCGUGCAAAGACCAUGUUUUCCAUCAGUGGCGUGCAAAGACUAUGUUUUCCAUCAGAAUACCAUCCUCUGAGAAUAUAACACAAAGUUUUAUCUGUUGCUAGAUGUUUAACAGUUUAAAACAAGUUUAUUUAUUGUUCUAUUGGAGAGAAUAUACUCCUAAAAUUCAAGAUCUUCCCAAAGUCUCUGCAAUCAUGUGUUAAAUUCUCACAUUUAUGCUACUGGGUUAAGAUUCUUGUUUGCAGAAAUGAACAACUUUAUUAUUGCAUUCUAGUUCAGGCUGAGUGAUGCUUUAAUUGCACAACUUAUGCUCAAUAUUUUCACAAUUUAUUGUAUCAUGGAAUCACAUGAUAUAUUUGCAUUUUUAACUCAUGCCUGCUUGACUGAAGAACAGGCGACGACAAAUUUUGUGAAAUUGAUCAGUACUAAAUGAAGAAUAAUCUAAUUGUGACUCUUCCAGUAUAACCAAAUAAUUUGUAUCUAACUGUCAAACUUCUGCUUUGAAUCAGAUUAACCACAGUGAUGCCAUUACUUCAGGAGACCCUUCUUGGGAGAUUAAAGGAAAGGGUCUUUUUUCAAGAGAGCUUAUAUUCUCUUUGAGGACUCCAGUCCCUGUAAAAUCCGGUGAACAGGUAAAUUCUUUAGACCCAAACUCAAUUUUAUGUGAAAACAUGUGCGAUAAUCGAAGUGGUGCAGGUAUACAUUCAGUUUGAUCUAUCAAAGAGCAAUGCCGAACUGGCCCUUGAUUAUGGCUUCAUCGAAUCGAGGUCGGAUCGUCAGGCAUAUACUUUGACUCUGGAGAUCUCUGAAUCAGACCCAUUUUACGGAGACAAGCUGGACAUUGCGGAGUCGAAUGGUCUAGGGGAGACUGCAUACUUUGAUAUUGUCCUGGGUGGCUCUCUUCCUCCUCAGAUGCUUCCUUAUUUGAGAUUGGUUGCUCUUGGAGGAACAGAUGCAUUCCUCUUAGAAUCCAUUUUCAGAAAUUCUGUUUGGGGUCACCUUGAAUUACCUGUGAGCCGCGCCAAUGAGGAAACCAUAUGCCGUGUUGUUAGAUAUGCCUGUAAAUCUGCCCUCUCUAGCUAUAGGACAACCAUACAGGAGGUACAGUUUUAUCUCUAGCUUAAAGAAAUUAAACAAAUCAAAGAGAGUUUAAUAAUUAUUACUGAACCUAAAGCAAUCCAUGAGCCCACUUUCGAUUCUUGUGCUUACGAAACUGAUUCGGUGUAGUUUGCCUUCUUUCUAAUUCCUUAUCUUGCAAUAUGCAGGAUGAAGAACUUAUUAAUGGCGGAAAUCUGGAUCGGAGACUUAGAAUUGCUGUUGGUGUAAGAGCAGGCGAAAAGAAAGUACUUAACCAAAUCGAAGAUAUUUUCCGAGAGAGGGAAUUGGAGUUAGACGGUUUGGAAUACUACCAAGAAAGGAGGCUCAAAGACCUUGGUCUAACCGGCGAACAAGGAGAAAUUAUCUUCUGGGAAUCACGAUAGAGAUGAUGUUUGUAAUAAUAUAUACAUAUCCCUUCGGUGAUGUACUUAUAUUUACGUGCAAGCGCAUGAAAAUUUUCCCACACCAGUUUGGUGUUGCAUUAAGUACAAAGGAAGUGCACUGUGGACUAGUAGGAGAGAACAUUGAUGAGAGCUUUGUAGGAACAAUGCCCCUCCCCCCUCUUCCUCCUUUUCAUCUUUGUAAACCGUACUCUAGAUCACUACAGCAGCACCUCUUUUUGAUGCUUCAGAGAUGCAAAUCCAUGAGACAGCUCACGCAGCUUCAUGCCCAGCUGCUGCUCAACGGCUUCUCCCAGAAGUGCUUCCUCCUCACCAAACUCCUCUCCUUCUGUAUCGCCUCCGGCGACGUCUCUCAUGCCGCCACUGCGUUCUCCCUUGUCGACCAUCCGAGCACCACCCUUUCCAACCAGAUGCUCCGAGCCCUCUCUCUUAGCCCUACGCCUCUCAAUUGCCUCCUUUUCUACAACCAAAUGCUACAGAGGCGAGAAACGUUCAAGCCCAAUGGCUUCACCUACGCUUUCCUAUUCUCCGCGUGCGCUAGAGCAAACUCGUCCCUUUUGUGCCAAGGUGAGCAACUACAUGCUCGGAUUGUUUCUGCCGGAUUCGGCUCAAACGUCUACGUCCAGACCAAUCUCAUCAACAUGUAUGCAACUGCCACCGCUGCCGCCGGCGGCACGAGAGAAGAGGCGAUCGCGCGCGCCCGCAAGGUGUUCGAUGAUAUGCCGCAGCGGAGCAUCGUCUCCUGGAACUCCAUGCUGGCUGUGUACUUGCAGUUGGGGGAGUUGCACACAGCUUCCGAAUUCUUCGGCGAGAUGCCUAAGAGGGAUGCCGUGUCGUGGACCGCCAUGAUCACUGGCUGGGCUCGUGCGGGAAAAGCCUCGCAAGCACUGGAGCUGUUCCGGGAGAUGCGCAGGGCCCGCGUGACCCCCGAUCAGGUAACCAUGAUUGCACUCCUGUCGGUGUGCACGGAACUGGGGGACUUGGAACUGGGCCGGUGGAUCCAUGCGCGCUUGGACCCUUUACAAGGAGGGCGAGACCGUCUCGUGUCGCUCAACAAUGCGCUAAUCCACAUGUACAUCAAAUGCGGCGCCGUCGACGAGGCUCUCCACAUCUUUCACGAGAUGCCAAUGAGAAGCACCAUCUCUUGGACGACCAUGAUUGCUGGUCUUGCAAUGCAUGGCAGCUCCGAGGACGCGUUGGGUCUCUUUCGCUCGAUGCGAGAGAAACCCGAUGCCAUGACGUUCCUCGCAGUACUCUGCACAUGCAGCCACUCGGGGAGGAUCGACGAAGGCCGCCAUUAUUUCAUGAGCAUGCGAAAGCAGCACGGAAUCAGACCAGACGUACGGCACUACGGCUGCAUGGUCGACAUGCUGACUCGUGCAGGCCGGCUGGGCGAGGCCCUGGAGUUGGUGGAGGCAAUGCCGAUGCGGCCGAGCGAUGCGGUGUGGGGAUCGCUGCUCGGCGGGUGCAGAAGGCAUGGAGAGGUAGAGCUCGCCGGGCACGUGGUGGAGAGGUUGAUGGAGCUGAAGCCGGAGAGAGCUGCGGGGUACCUAGUGCUGCUAUCGAAUGUGUAUGCAGCAGUGAGCAGGUGGGAGGAAGCUCACAGGGUGAGGGAGAGGAUGGUAGAUUUGGCCGAGCACAAGCCUGCGGGGCGAAGUUGGAUGAAUCCAAAUGAGUGAAACACUGAAACCUGCACCGCAGCACCGGAAAGGAGCGAGGUGGUACUCUAUCCUCUACCAGAAGAUGCGUCUAGGGGCUAAAUGCAAGUAAUUAAGAUGAUGAUCUAUGACCUGCCACUGAUAGCGCUUGGUGGUGCGCCACCGUUCCACUGCAGAAACCAUCAGAAACUAAAGAUGAUAGAUAACAAGACCAUACGAAAACGAACAUGUUAGCCGCUAUUAGCACGUAGGGUGAAAAAGCUGGACUGGAGCCAAGGAAGACGCUCACAAGCUUUGUUUCUAUAUUAAAGAGUUCUACAAAUCUGAAAGCUUAACCUGAAAGGUAUAUCACCGUCUGUGAUCUGCGAUUCUUGUUCCUAUUCAAUGUAAAACUAAAAUUCUUAAACAAUCCACCGAUAACUUGUUUGAUAUAUUUAUAGAUAUUGAUAUAUAUUUUAUUGCGAAUCAUAAGUUUGAUUCUUAAGUCUUAACUACUGUGAUAUUAUAACAUAUCAUAAAGGUAUUAUGUAGACAUACAUUGUAUUAAUUAUAAAUUUACCAUUUGUGAUGAGUAAAUAAGAGAGAGAUGAUGAACAAAUAUUCAGCCGUCAUAAAAUUCCAAAACAUUACAAGCCAUAAUGGUAUUGUUUAAGUGAAUUUAUUCAACACACACAACAACAUAAGAACUAGGAAAGGUCUCAAUCCAAACAACACUCGAAGAAUGUGAACUACAAACAAAUGUGCAACACGGCACCGCAAACUUUACUAAGCCAUUAGUGUUGUUGGGGGGAAUCAAACCACACCAAGAGGGGGAAAUUUCACUGUAAAUGGUUCACUCAUCAUUGUAAUUGCGACGGUGAUGGUAUUUGUGGUGGCCGCAUCUCUGUUCCUCUUCAGUUUCAUCUCCCUAUUAAUAAUUCCCAAAACGGGAUAAUCAUCAAUCCGAUUCAAUUUUUUCAAAAAGAUUCGGUUAUAAUAUCUUAUCGUUCGAAUUCUACUCUGAUCUAGUAGACAUCCUUAACCAAUAAAAAGGAGUAUUAUUCAUUCCUAUUCUACGUAGAAAUAUCUAAAAUCAACUAAAGAAACACAUAAUAAUGAGCUAAAGCAUUUGAAAAUACAAACACAAAUCAAACUACUUUAAUUUGAGCACAAAAAAACAUCAAGUACUACUCACAUAUAUAUUUAGGGCGGUUAUAAUUGUACACUUCCCCUUGGCCCUGCACGUAGUAGCUGGGCUUCGCAUGCGUACCACUCUCCUCCUCAUAGCUUGGCCUCUCAUAACUACUAGGUCUCUCUCCAUGUCCAUACUCUUCGCUCAUCCCAUAACCACCACCAUCACCACCACUGUUAUACGCACACUGCGGCUUCGGCCGAGGACGCCCGUAUCGGCGAUCACCGGAGUCAGUACUGUCGGCGUAGUAAGAAGAUGCGGCGGAGUCGGAGGAGUAUUGGGCUCUAUUGGAGUCGGCAGCAGAGGAAGAGGAGGUGGACUGGGAGGAUGAGAUGGGGUAGCAAAUGUCGUCGGACGGCGGGAGGGGCUGGCCGAAGGUGAGGCUUAUGUCAUAGCCGCCGCCGUAGGGCGUCGGGUCGUACUCGACGUAGUCGUUGACGUCGUCGACUGAUAGAUCGCCGCCGCCGCCUCCUCUCCACGCCAUCGCUGGCAGCUUCUCCCUCUCUAUCUGACUCUCCUUCUUUGAUGGUAGCUGUGCCGUUACGUCGCUAGCUGGUUUACGUGAGAGGAUGGUAGUGAUAGAGUUUAUAUAAAUCUGUGUGUUGGUUAAUAGGAUAAAUAUAAUGUUGUGUAUAUUUUUAAAUGUAUAUUAUGAAGAUUACAAGUACUUUGUCAAACAUCCAGAUGGGUGCGACUUCUUAUUUUUCUCAGCUUGCUGAUAUUCUGGUCAGCUCCUCUAGUAUCGAAAUUGCCCUCCUGAAAAUUCGGGCUAAAAGUUAUGAAUAUAUAUAUUCACGAAAAAAAAAGUGCCUAAUUAAUGUUAUAUAUGCGAUAGAAUAUUACAUGUUAGACUAGGUCUAGCCAGUAAUUUCAUUCUUAUAAACAGCAUAAACCAAAAACUUCGUGGGAAACGACGAUAUGACGAGAGAUAAGACUUUCCUAGGCCUUUCGACUGGUCAAGCGUAAUACUUUUCGGGACCUUUUCUAAUCGAGCAAAAGGUUUUUUUUUUUUUUUUUUAAGAAAUAGGUAGCACGCUAUCUGCUUUGUUUAUUUUAUUUAGAAAUAAACUUAGCGAAAAAUGUGAAUCAACUAGGAUUCGAACUUGGGUCUCAGAUACCAACCAUCAAGCCCUUUACCACUUACUCUAGAGACGGCCGGUUAUUUUUUAAUAAAAUAGUUACUGUUGAAAGAUGGAAUGUGUGGAUCUUUUUUUACAAAAGUACAUGUGCUUAGCAUGGUUUACCAAAUCAGUUUCUCCUCCCUUUCAUGUUGAAUUUGUUUCAUGUUGAUUGUUAACGUGUUUGGCAUUAAUUAUGAUUUAUCCUGCAAACAUUUAAGAGGAAUGAUUUUUUUUUUUUUUAUUUGACAAAGAGUUUUCUCGAUAAGAUAGUUAAUGUACAACAUGUUCUCAAUCUCGAGUUGCCUUAGCUUUUCUUACAGUGCAGUGAAAUACACCUCAUCGCAUAUGUUGAAAGUAAUAAGCCAAUAAGAUUGAGGCCAUGCAACACCAGAGUUGGAUCCACAACAGUAAGAUAUAAGACUACAGCAAUCACUUUAGGACUUUGUCGCAUCCUUCAAACUAUCCGAGAGAAUCCGACACAACUUCCACCAAGGAAACGUAGUGAACAAUAAACUAGUGCCUGUGUUAUCAUAUUUACAAAAGGAAGAAAAAAAAUUUGCAAAUCAAAUGUCGCAUUUAACCAAAGGCAAGUGUACCUCUUCUUACCAUAUCCUCUGCUCAAUCCAACCAGAGUUGUGAAUAUAGACAGAGAAGAUCAUGAUACAGUUGUUAAUAAGACAAGCAGUCCAUCGAUAUACCAAAUAUAUACAGAGUCGAUAUAUCUCGAAUCAAACAACAGCCGUAUUUUUUUUAAUGAACAAUGGCAUCUUUUACAUACACAACCCAUUUUGGGCGGACAACAACUUGACAAAAAACAAACAAGCAUAAGAAAUCGAGAAUUAAAUAACUGUUCAAAAAUACAGGAGAGUGAAAUCUUAUCUUCCCAGUCCACAACUAGUGGUCCAAGGGUUGUAGCUAAGCUCGACACCAAUAACUCAUUUCCCCUGAUUUGCUUUUCCAGAUAUCAUAUUUCUGCUUCACUUGCUCAUGUUUCUUGUACUCUUUCGUAUUCUUGUUUUAUGAAUUAAUUUAUCGCAAAUUGGUUCCAGCAAUCAGCAAUCCAUGGCAUAUACAAGAAAUCAACCCCAUUCUUGACCAAACCACCAUAUACAAAUAACCAACUGCUUUUAGAAUAUUCCUUCGGUAGUUACACAAGCUCAUUUUAUGUGCAAGAUGGGCACCCCUUCUAAUUGUUUUUUUAUAGAAUUUUCAACAUUCGAUCAUUUUCUCCUGCUAUGAAUUGCCUUUCUCUUGGCUACCCGCUGGCAACAAUCUCCGCCUUAACACUUGGGUGCUAGCUGCAGCUUUCAGCAGCGGCUUUAAGGCAGCCAUAAUCUCCGAAAAUGAUGGCCGUUUCUUUGGGUCUCUACAAUAUGUUCAAAAGAGAAGAAAAAGAAGAAAAUCAAAGAAUAAAUAAAGGAAUCAGUGAAAAAAAUAACACGGGACUGAGGGUGAGCAUAUUAGUGUUUGCUGAAUCCAACUUCCUCGCAAGUGUACACGAAGUAAAUGGCAGAGCAAUAUAUACCAAAUCACUGUGCUGUAAAAUGUCUACUGCAUGUCUACUGUUAAAGAGAAAAGGCGGCAACACAAGUGUUGAGGCCAAUCUAUCAAGAUCUGUACAAUCAAUCAACUGAUGAAAAUCUAAUUACUCCGGUAGCUUAGGUAAGAUGUAUGUAUAGCAGUUGGACAAUUAUUUAUGAAAAGGAGGAAGCUUAUGUGGCGAUGGAUCUGCCCAACUUAGAAAACAAGGUAAGAGGUUCAUUCUUUUCAUCAAAGAUCCGAGGGAACUUCAAUAGCAAACACAAUUAAGGACACAACAGGUAAAGAUAAUUUUGAAUCUCUUAGAGGAAACAGGUUUAUAUUUGUUGGGCAAUAUAUAAAGAAAUUUGAAAAUAAGAAGUAUACUAACGUUUGCCAGCACUUCUUUAUAAUGUCUGCUAUGACAGGAUCCAUGUCAUCUGGAAUGUCAAGGCGGCGAUGCUGAAAUCCAACAGCUCCAACAACUUGCAUGGGAUUCAUGCCUUCCCAUGGCUGCUGCAAUGUGCACAGCUCCCAUAGUAUGACACCGAAGCUAAAAACGUCACACCUGAAUAUGCAAACUAUGGAUUAGUGAAAUAAGAUACCAUGCAAAAAUUUAAACAAAAUAUGCUACUUAAAAAGCAAAACACACUUCUCAUCUGAAGGUUCAUUUCUGAGUACUUCUGGUGCCAUCCACUCAGCCUACAGCAUACAAAGAAGAACAUCAACAUGGACCAAGAUGAAAUGUAAAGGCAGUAUAACAAUAACUUAGGAAACCAGAGGAUGUAUCCUGGAAGUAAAUGGUUAAAAGCGUAAGAGCUAACAUAUAUCAAAUUUGUUCAAUAUGUUUUAAUGCGCUAAAAUUGUACAAAGCUAGUGCGCACUAAUGUGAUGUUGCAAAAUUAUUAGAUACUUCUUUAUCUUUAAAUGACACUUUAUGAUAAGUUUUGGAACAUCGCACAAACUGCAGCGACGCAUGGCAAAUGAAUGAUAGAUAUCAGGCCUCAGUAAUAUCAGGUACAAGUGAACCAAGUAUAGGAAAAUGAGUAACUGGGAAUAUAAGGACAACUGAAGGCAUUGGAAAAGGCAAAGUUUGAGUAAAUUCUUAAGCAAAUAUAUGUCAGAUAACAGAUAUAUCUAAACGAAGACUAAACAAAAUGCUUACUGUUCCAGCUGUUGAUCUUGAAGAAAGAAAUGUACUGUGCUUCAUUCGUGAUAAACCAAAGUCACAGACCUGAAUUGAUUUGAAGAGAAUAAGCAGUAAGUUUGUGCUAUGAGAAAACGGCAUGAUGCUAAUACUUAGAGGAUAUGACAUUUACUCUUAAAGUUAGAAUGGUACCUUUACAACCCAAUUCUUGUCGACAAGAAGGUUUGGAGAUUUGAGAUCACGAUGUACUAUAAUUGGUGUGCAAUUGUGCAAGUAAUUCAUUCCACGAGCCUGCAGACCAAAAUUAAUACGAUAGUACUAAAUAUGAUUGUUUUAUGGCAUCAUUGAGUGUGUCAGUACAUAACAAGAUGCAGAUGAAAGAAUCACUAAGAGUUAUGUAUCAUACAACAUCAAGUGCCAUCCUUAGUCGUCUCCUUUCAUCUAACUGGUUGUUAGGUCGAUGAAUCAAUCGGAACAAGCUCCCUCUGCAUUUUAUAGUACAUCCUUUAAGCACUUUUCAUAAAAAUCGACAUAUGCCAUAGUAGAAUAUUAAAUCUAUCUUAAUUAAAAGAAUGCAUAUCAUUAGAUCAUAAUCACUCAAAUUACCAAAGAAAUUUUGGUGAUGAGUGCCAUUAGGACAAAAUAUCAUUAGAUCAGUCAAAAAAUACUACUGCUGUAGAACGCAAAAUGGGAAAAACAGAAAGGAAAAACCUAGUCCAGAUACACUCUGGAAUUACAAAAAAAAACAGCAUUAAACUUCUUAAAAAAUGCACGCAGACCUUGAUGUUUCUUCCAGUAAAACUUAGAAACAAAUGGUUGACAAUGUAAAAGAAGACACAGUACUUUCAGUUAUAAGAUUGGUGUGACUACAUUAAUGAACUGUUAGCAAGAUUGACUGCAUAAACAAAUCAAAGAAAACAUACCUAGGAAGAAACUCUGUUACAAUGGCAAGAUUGGGCACACGGGUUACAGCACCCAUGAGGAGGACAACAUUUGGGUGUCGUAAUCUUCUCAUUAUCCGCACCUUAAGAGCAAAUAAAUAAAAAUUGAAGGCCAGGAACCAACUUUUCCAUAAAUAAUUAAUACUAUUAAAGUUUGUGCAGAACUAAACUAACAGGUCAGCACAUUGAGUGAAGUAUGACUACAGUCUAACCAGUAACCAAGUAUAACUUUUAUUGAAAAGGCAGCUGUCGCAGGUAAGGUAAUAUUAUCUUUGUUUGAACACAAAUGUAAUUGUUGAUACAGCAUGAUAUAUACCUCACUUCUAAAUUCUUCCAAAGCAUCACCCGAGAUAUCUUGGUGUAAGAACUUCUUAACUGCAACUUCCUACAAGGAGAAAAGAGCAUAUGCUAAGAAAGAACAAUCAACAAAACAACGGAGAAAAGUCAAUUAAUGGGUAGAGCUUCCGCCAAAGGUAAGAGUUAUAUGGCCGAAGGAGAGAACAGCUCCUAGUAAGUUUAAGAUCAGCUAAAGAGAAAAAAAAGGAGAUAGAAGAAAGGAAAUACACUAUCUUGAAUUUAGAGCAUAGACACAAUAUACAAGGCAGGUUACAGCAAUAAAAUAGGGGAACAUUGAAACUUGGUUGAAAAAUGGUUUUACAAUCAACAUAGACUUGGAUCUUCAUAUUUAAGCUGCUGACAAAAUGGUCGAAUGACCAGAAAUAAAGCAACAAAGGAGAUAUAAUAUUAUAAUGAGACAAUGGCCUUUCUUUAUCUGACAACAAAUGUAUCACAUUAACCCUAGGAAGAAUCACUUGAAAAUAUUAGAUGUUAUUCUCUGAACGCUCCAAAUAUAUUAUAAUUGACAUCAGUUUUCACAUCUAGAAGUUGUAAAAAACUCUUUGCCAUUAGAAGCAUAAGUAAAUUACUUGAACGAAUGAAAGGACUUACUGUUCCAUGCAACUCUCCCUUGUACACCUCUCCAAAGGAGCCUAGUAAGACAAGAAAUGUCACUCAUGAGAAAUAAGUGACUGUAAUAAACAAAAUAUUGUUCCUAAUAACAAAAUUUUGGCUUAAAUACUAUUUAUAUCACAUAAGAAUAUGAAGCACUAAAAGAUUUAGUAAAUGCAACUUCAUAAAAACCAUACCUAGACCUAUCCGUUCACCCAAAGUGAGGUCCUCCCAUUGUAUCUCAAGUUCCGCAACAUCAUCUAGAGCAAUAUCAGAUUUCGUGCUGUCAGUCCCAGUUGACUUUCCUGAAUUUCGUUCUGCUUCUUGCUGGUGAGUUUCACCCGUGCCUUUUUCUUGCUCAGGACCAUCAUGAUCAUUUUCUAUAUGCCGAUUAUCCCAAACAUCAUAUCCAGCUCCCUCAGUUGAAUCUGCUCCUUGACCAAAUGCAGGUAAAAAUGGUACAGGGACACGAGACUCCAAGUUCUCAUAUUGCCUACUAACAGCAGCAGUUGUCGCAACAACGGCAGCAGCAGUAACAGUAGCUGCAGCAGCAACAGGGACUUCAAUAUUCAUUUCUGCGCUCGAUUUAACUGCAGCAACAACCAUCGAAGAGGCAACAACAGCAGCUGUAGCAGCAGCAGCAGCAACAGGCAUGUGCUUUAUAAGCUGUAAUGGAGUCUCCUGCGAAAGCACAUCAGAAGCUUCGGAGGUAGAUGAAGUGCCAGCUGCUUCUCGGAAGUCAAGAGGGCGAUGAAGCCCCAAACCUUCUACAGGCUUCAACGGGCGGAUUCGGUUCGUGAUCUCGUCCUCUUUUUCACCCUUAUAUCCACUUUGAGACUUGUCUUCGGUCAUCAAAUCUUCCGAAUAUCCCGUAUACAAUUCCGAAAAUAAGUUAGGGGGUGCAAUAACUCCACUUUCGAGCAAUACAUCUUGAAGUUUUUGGGCUAAUUGUGGGUUUUCUUUAGCAGCGUCAAUCAUGUACUGUGAAACAUCCUGCACUUUCAUUUUGUUGACAGCUGAAGAAGAAUUGAUUCCAGCAAUCCUAGAAGGCGAUUUUGCAACAGUAAUACCAGACUUUUCUUGAGCUUUCACAGUUUUACUGAUGUUAGUAUCUCUAGAUUUGCCAAUGGGAUGUGCUUUUUCUUUCAUAUGCAGGUUGGUUGAAAAGUUCUUGAGCGAACUUAGUUUCUCACUUUCUUUAUUGCUGAACUCCAAUGUAUGAAUUCCACUAGUAUCUGAAGCUUCAGGAUAGCUAGACAAUGAUCGUUUAUCAAGCGGCUCACUAUCUAAAGAGCAACCAGCAGAACUUGAGACCCCGCUUACAGAAGAACCCAUAUGAACACUAUCAGCACCUUUGCUGAAAGGGCUAACUACAAAGAUAUUUUCUUCGUAGUCUUUUACCAGCCCAGCACCAUCCGAUGGGAUAAGAGUACCAGGAUAGGCCAUUAAAUCAACGAUGUACUCUCUGCGAUGCAAGAAAUAAACUUGUAAUGUUUAUGUUGAUAAUCAAUCAUCCAAUUUCAUAGAAAAUGAAUCUAACAUUCUAAGUUGAAUAUCUAAGCUAGGGAAUGAGAAUGUUCCAACUAUGUGAAACAACGAAAAAUUGUAUGAAAUAAAGGACAUAAAUAAAUCAGAGAAAUAUUGAGAGGUCUUAGUUUCUGGCAGCCUUCUUUAUAUGCGUAGUUUGAUUGAGCAAUCAAAUUAUCAAGCUUACAAUCUAUAUAGUAUGUCCGAAACUACAAGUAAACCAACAAUUGGGCCAACUUUCCAUGCCCAAGUGGGCUGGAAAUUACUAAACCAUGGGAAUAAUAUGGUAACUGUUGGGCACCAUAAAUGCAUUACCUUCCAUCCUUUACUUUUACGAUGUUCAAAGCCCCAUCAUCUGAUCCAGUAUAUUGCUUUCCCUUUACUAAUCGACAUGGAAUGCCCACACUAUCAGCCAAAACCUACAUAGAUAUUUGAAAAAAAUAACCCAUUUUUACAUCUCAUAUAACAAUGAAAGAGAGGGCUUCAAAAACGCAGCCAGGAGUAAUGUGCUGUAGUAUUAUUUUGACCCCAAAAAAAAAGUAUCAUGUGAUCCAUAAUAUCACACACGUUUCUUUGAACGAUGAAUGAUUUUUCAAGUUUUAGAACAACAUAUCGGUACAAAAGCAUGGGAGUCACCUGCCUAGUUUAAUCCACAACAAAUAAUUUUUUUAAUCAGGUUCUAUUUUUAAAAGCAAGCUGAAUCCAUUCAUAUUCAGGUCAGACCGAGUUAUGUUCUGAAACUUACUUGCAGAACAGGUUUGUUGUUUAUAUUGCCUGGGAUUGCUGAUAAGGAAAGGAGAAAAAAAUGCAAGAAUAAUUAUGAAGGAUCAAGUAUCUGUGACGUGUAAAUAUUACACAACUAGAACAGUAACACACUAAGGCAGUAUUAAAAUGCACAGCACAACUAUGUGUCACCCAUCACCAAAAAAAAAAAAAAAAAAAAAAAAAAACUGCAAACGGAACUAAAUUGUCUACAAAACUAACGUAAUAUUGCACAAAUAGAACAGUAAUGAUAACAACACCAAGGCAGUACUAAAAUACACAGCACAACUAUGUGUCACCCAUCACUAGCAAAACUGCAGAAGGAACUAAAUUUGUCUACAAAAUUAAUGUAUUUGGGAAAGGACUGUCAGGAUUUGAUCAAGUGAGAUUUGAAGUUUCAUAAUACAAAGCGGACCCAACAUAUUAACCGAUGCUAGCCAUUUUGAAAUGAUUUUCAGUUCGAUAUGGCAUAGUUUCUUUGGACUGGCUGUGAAUUAGAAUAACGGUAGACCAAUACUCGUGCGACCUUUUAUCUCGUAUACAGUAAGGGUAAACAAAAGAGCAUCUAAUAAGGAGGAAGAAAUCCUGACCUUGAAUAACAAUGCACGAUGACGAGCCAAACCAAUUGUUAAACGGCCAAGAGGCAAGACCAAAUUACCGACACUUUCUCGUAAAUAGCUACUGAGUUUUUGAUAUGACAUCAGCAUGCUUUCAGGAUCGUAAACUAUUCCACCCAUGUAGUUAGCUACCAAAUUAGCAAGCCUCUGCACCAAAGCACCCUCAACAAAGUCUGAAGACUGUGACCUUGCUUCACGGGCCAUGAUUAAGGCCUUCUUCUCAAGUUUUAAGAGGUCACCAUCUUCUGUUCUAUUAACCAACACAGCCUCCCAACUCACAUUAUCUGAAAAUGGUGCUCCUUGGAGAUCAAUAAGAGAAGGCAUCUUAGCAGAGUUAGGCUCAACCAUUAUGCCGUAGAGGUAAUAGAAACCAUCCAAGAUCUUAUCAUCAAAGUUCAAGGAGUUGUAAUUCUGUGGAGAACGAAGAAAUCUACAAUAUGAGACAAAUCAGAAAAAGAUAGUCAUAGAAAUAUGAAUGAGUAGAAUAUCUUGGUUAUCAUAAACUUAAAAGCACACAGGAAACAUGCCAUCUUAGAAAUAGCUGCCUGGCUGAAAAUCAUGAUAGUCAUGACAAGACAAAUCCUGAUCAACAGAAGAAGCGCUCUGCUAAAUCAGUUAUCAGAGAAAACUCAUUUCCAGACAAAAAGGGCAUCAUUUACAAACUGUUGCGUAGAGUAAUGAAUAAUGAUGAUGAGUAGACAAAUGUUUCUCACUUCAAACUCAAAUACUAUGAGUAGAAAAACAAGUGUCCUUUAAAAGGCGGCUGAAAACAAUGAGCAGUUAAUUUUUCAAACCAGUCUAAUGAAGCCAAUUUAUGGUACGGAUAUGGCAAAUUAAUAAGAUGACAAACUUACUACUGUGUUUUCUUUUUUUUGAUUUUUUUUUUUUAAAAAAAACAUGAAAUACUGAUUUAGUGGAAAACAUGAUUUCAACAAAGUGUAGUGCGGGGAAGAUGGAAUAGUGAUUUAGUGGAAUCGAAAAAUACAAUUUCUUUUUUGAGAUUACUAAAACAUAAAACAGAAUACUGCAUUCAUCCACAGUUUCCCAACAACAUCAUCCUAGUCUUGUACAGUUGCGGAGGUGGUCAAAUUUUAUUCCUGCUCCGUGUCCCAUCUCUAGCAUAGCCUCAAUUAUACCAGAGAUAUAUUAUAUUUAUCAUCUAACAAACCCUAGAAAGCAAAUUAGGCAUGCUAUCAAUCCGAAACAGGAACUCUUUACUUCAGUCUAGCAAAGUCAAAAUUGAAACAUGCUGUCUAAACUGCAAACAUUGCAGUUCCUAGCUGAGUCAUUGUCCAUUUUUCUAGUUCCUUUCUUUUCUCCAACUUUCUCUCGAAGCCAUUACAAGGACUUCUCAUAGCAUUAUUUUCUGAUGAUCUCAAAAUUUACCCAUACUUUCUCUUUCACAAUCUUACAACAUCCCUGGUGAACUAAAUUGCAGGACUCAAGAACUCUUAUGAUCUCCUACAUAAACUCGGACCGUGGCUCUUGUUGCGUAGCCGUAAUGCCACGAAUGACACUCAAAACGACAUCAACCGCACAUAUUUGAAUGGCUCUCAACAAUUACUUGCACGGUUUAAUUGGCGGAGCAAGUUUCCUUUGUUUCCCGGGCGAUCGAUCGAGUGAAGUUUCUGAUGACUCGAGAACAUAGUUGACAUUUUCAAUAAUGGAGAUUCGGUUUUAAAAAGACAAAAAGAAAAAACGAAAACAGAUAUAGGAUAAGGUAAUUGAUGGAGAACUGGAAACUGACCCAGUAUCUGUAAGCAAGAACCUCGGCCGGGGUGCUCUCGGGCGGGCACGAACCGAGGCUGAUCUGCUUCACGACCUCGAUCUGGACCGCCUCCGGGUCCUCCCUCGCGCUCAUCUCCAGCGCCAGCUGUAUCUGAUACUCCUCCUCCAUAUCCGUCUCCGCCGCUGCCGCCCCAGUCCUCUUCGCUUCUAUCGCCGCCGCAUCCGCAGCCGCCGACGUCGUCGCCGACGCCGACGCCGGUGACGACGCCGAAGGCCCCGCCUCCCUCCUCUCUCCCCUGUGCGAAGAUGACGGUGAUGACGACGACGACAACAACUGCGGCGGCGUCGGAGGAGGAGGAGAACCCUGACCCGAAGGGCCGUGCUUCCCGGUAACGGAGUUCAACCAAUUGGAAAGCCCCGACAAGGGCUUCGGCUCUUGAUUGCCGCCGCCGCCGCCGCCGCCGCCGCCCUUAGUCGAGGGGGACGAGGGCCCAUCGUCGCCGUGGGAUUGGCUCGGCCCGAUGUGGAGCUUCUUUAAGAGGUUCUUCAUACUCCUCCUUCUCUCUCUCUCUCUCUCUCUCUCUCUCUCUCUCUCUCUCCUCCAGCUACUACCACUACUACUACUACUACUAUUGGAGCAUCGAAGGAUCAGAGAGGGGUCGAAGCAGUAGUAGUAGAAGCAGUAGGUAGAGGAAUUAGGGGAGAAGAGGGGAGAUCCAAGAUGCCCAUUGGGGUGCUUCGUACGUGCGGCGGUUGACCGACUCAAGAUUGGCACGGGGGAGCGGGAUUAUUACAAAGUAAAAGGAAAAAUAAUAAUAAUAGUGGGGGUUAUUUCUCUUUCUUGGGUACAGCAGUACAGCCUGACAGGAGAUAGAAGAAGAGACGAAAGCGGGGUGGGGAAGCGCAGCGCACACAGCGGGGAAGCACGAUAAAAAAAACAGGAAAAAGGAGGGGAUGGAGACCAAGUUGGACUGAUCGGGAUGCGGCGGUGGGGCCCGCAGGAGGAAAGGGAGAAGCCGGGUUGAGGCGCCCCACUUGGGCAGUCGGACCAACUGGCUCCUCUUGAGGUCCGGGCCGAGCUCCGCGUAGGCUCGCAUGCCGCGGAGCCGACGUGAGUGCCUCGGGCUUUUACCUCGAGCGGAAUUCGAGAGGAAAUCGCCAGAAAUCAUCCGCGGACCCACUCCACCGCGUCGUCCGUGAACCGCCCUAGGCUAGUCCUGCGCAUGUUCUCUCUCUUACGGAUCACUCAGGUUCACGCACAAGAUAGUCAAAUAAGAUGUUGUAUUCUUACCGACCGUUAUUGGGGCAUGUUUGUUGGUUGUUCAAAAAUGGAUGAAGCGAAAAAAAUCACUUUUACAAAAGUAAUUUUUACAAAAGUAACUUUUCAGUCUAAUUGUUUGGUUGACUAUAAAUAAAGUUAAAAAUUAAAACUAUAAUUUUGUUAUUUUGAUUAUUAAAUUAUAUAUAAAUAGAUGAAAAUAUAAACAAACGAUGCAUUUUAAAUUAAAAUUUUAAAAUUUAUAUUUAUAUUUAGAAUUUAAUAUUACAUUUUAAAAUUUAAAUUCAAAAUUUAAUUAAAAAUAAAAUUUAUAAAUUUAAAUUUAAAUAUAAAGCCACAAAUUUGAAUUUAAAAUUUAUGUUAAAUUUUAAUUUAUAAAUAAAUUUCAGAAUGUAAUCAUAAUUUUAAUUCAAAUUUAAAGUAAAAUUAAACUUUAAAAAUAAAUUUUUAAAUAUUAAAGUUAACACCAAAUAUAACCUCUUAGUUAAGCUCUCCACUUUCAGUGACUUCCAAAUUUUUUGAACUGAGGUCAAAAAAGUGUGAUUUAAUUAUAACUCACUUUAUUAGCCCACUUUCGUAAAAUGACUUUCAUAUUCACUUUCGCAAAACAAAUAACUGAUAAAGCGUCACUUUCUAAAAGUAUCACUUUCGAUGCUUCACUUUCGGCGACCUAAACAUGCCCUUAGUGAAAGUGACAAAUAAUUUAGUAAUUGGUACUCGAAAUUUUAAAUUUUAAAUUUAGUUGAUUUAUAUUUUUAGUUAAGUUUAUUUCUAAAUAAAAUAAACGAAAUAGGUAGCAUACUAUCUAUCUCUUAAAAAAAAAAUGCCGCAUUUUUUAUCUUUGUAAAAAAAUUUAGAGACUCUAAUAAGCAAAAUUUUACAAGUUGAAUGAGGUAUACAGGCAUGCCCAAAUGACAACGAAAAAAAAAAGAGUAUAUAGAGCGAUGUAUAAUAUAGUCACAUUUGUCUUUUAUUAUAUACAUUAUUUUUUGCACUAUGAGAAUCCAAUGAAGAAAAUUUGAUUUUGAUAAAAUAUUUAAAAAUGUAGCAAGAAAAGUCAUUUGAGAUAAUUUUCGUAUUAUUGGACUGAGCUAAUAUGGCCUUAUUUGACUAGUUAGGAAUCAAUUACGAAAAAAAAUUUUCAAUCUUAAUUUUUCUUACUAAUUUUAUCAUGUUCACAAAGUAUGUAUAUGAUAAAAAUUUUAAUUUAUUGGGUUGUGAGAGUUGACGAAAUGAUGAGAUAUGCAAAACAACAUAUGCUUUUGGAUUCUCUAUUUUGUAGCUAAUUAAUUUUUAGCAAUUGCAGAUUUUUGGGGACGUAGCCAUCCAUUUGAUGAAUUGCUACACCCUGUCUAGGCAAUAAUAUAAUUUGUGAUAGGGAGCGGGGGAAAAUACUGUCACGUGUGAGCCGUACGAGUUAAAUUGCAAUACAGCUCUAAACCAGCCACUUAUUAGAGAGCUGUCCUUUUUGGUGCACUCCAGUGGGCUUUGUCCGGACAUUAAUUUAUUGAGAGAAUGGAACUAAAAGAUUAUCUUUUUUGUACUAUUGUUGUGCAAAACAAAGCAUAUUCUAAGUUACAAAAUGUACUCAUGGUGCAUCGCCAGCCCAUUGUGUCUGGCAAGUGCUGCUCUGUUUCUUUUUCUUUAAAAAAAUAAUAUAAUAUAAAACCUGAGCUCUAACUCCUGGACUAACCGUAUUUAGAUUUAGGACUAUUAAAACUGACUUUUAAAUUUCUCUGCGAUUUGUGAGCAUGUAAAAACAAGGAGAAAUAGAUUCUUAACUUGCAGUUGGUACAUAUAUUAUAAUUUUGUAUUCGAUGAUCCAAGAUAUUCACCAAAUUCUAUUCUUGUAGUAAUAGCUCUUAGAUAUACAUCUCUGAUCGAUUCGCAAUACAACUUGCUACACAAUGUGCCCUUUUUCUUCUUAAGCUUAUCGCUUAACUGGUCUCUAGGGGUUGAAGGAAUAAUUUCAACAAAGCUUCAUCUUUUCUCUAAAGCUCCCUUUAAUUUAUUGGUUUUUUUUUAUAUAUAGAAAAGACUUCCGAAUCAGUCUAUUAAGUAUUUGAGCCCUAAUAGAAAGAUCUUAGAUAGACUAUAUUCCAGAAGCCUUAUACAUCGAUAUCACAGAAUCCUAACCUUUCCCAAAAAAGACUAGAUAUUCACACAUACUUACCUCCCUACUUUCUAAUCCGGAAAAGUAGAGCUAUAAAGAAGUAUAUAAAAGAGGAUAACGACCAAUCAGAUGAUCGAAUUUUAUCAACAUUACCGGCUUAAUUAACUUAAGAAAUGAUUUCUGGUGGGCUAAAUAAAUUUAGCUGGCCAGAGUAUUUUUCUUUAUCUUCUUCUUUUGUUUAGCCCACAUGCUUCCAAAAAAUAAGUGAAUGCUGACAUCUGCAAACUUUAGCCUGCAACAUGCUAAGACAGGCAAAGGAUUAGGUUUGUUAUUUGAUGGUCCCAUACCAGCUCCUAUAAAUUCUGACUGAUUUUUGAGGCAUUAAAUACUAGUAUCAUUUGAGAUUAGAGUUUUAUUAUGAGUACCCUCAAGAUUACCCCCUAGUGUAACCUCUAUGUCUCAAAGAAAUUGUUGCCUCCGCCCGCUGCACGAGCGAAACUUACGCUCUGCACGCAACAUUCAAUUUUAAUAUCUUAGAAUCAAAAUUUAAUAUGAUCUGAAGCGUCUAAAGUAACAAAUAAUUCCAAAGUCCAAUGGUAUAGAAAGAAAUUCACAAAAAAAGAGAAUCCAAAAUUUAUGACUUUGUGUAUUUAGACUUUUGGAAUGAUGUAUGACAUAUCCAACAACUAAUUUUUUAAAUAUUUUUUUCCAGUUAAUUGGUAGGUGGGUACCUUUAGUUUGGAAAAAAAAAAAAAAAAAAAACGUUAAAAAAAUUAAAGAGUAUACACUAGAGGGUACCCUUAUAAGCAUUUUGCUUCGAGAUAACAUCUUCCAGGCUCCACCAAAGUCUCAUGCUGCUUCCGUAAAAGGGCACUGAGAAUGAGGAGAAAAUGAGUUUUCCUUUCCCUUUCACGCCAACGCUUCAGAGCAUUUAUUCCCCCAUUCUUAAUGUGAUUCGGGCUAUCGAUGUAUUCAAUCAGUUUUUUCAAAUCCAAGCAUCAGAUUUUUUUUUUUUUUGAACUGUUCUUGUGAAUUUUAAAUUGAUUUUUAGUGGCCUAUGAAAUUUGUUAUCUAUUUUUACCUAUCCUAUACGGAGAAGCAUGGGGACUUCAUAUAUAUAUAUAUUUUUAAUUCAAGAGAUUUCUCAUACUUCUAUUAUAACGUGGAAUGCAUAUUUUUCUUCAUGUAAGCAGUACUUCGCUUGAAAUUGCUCGUUGACCCGUUUGCAUUUUAACUUAAAAUAAUCCUUUCUUGGGCCCGUGAACAUAAUAAAUUCAUGUAUGCGUGAGUGUGUGCUAACUCUCAUUGAUGUAAACUUUAUCUCAACGAAUCUGAGAGCAGUAGGAAUCACCCGAUCAAUUAAAUGUUUUACUAAGUUUUAAUGGAACGCUGACAUAAUUACAUAUUAAAAAAUGUUAUUGAUGAGUUAAUUAUUAUCUACAUGAAGCUUAGUGGUUGAUUUUUUUUCCUGAUUGAUAUUGCAAGUAAUUUGGUUUUUCAAAUUUUAAAUUAAAACUGUCUAACACGAUAUCGAAAAUAAAUCGGCUCAAGAGUCUCAUCAUGCCUAUUGUGCGUCACAAAAAAAUUCUAUACAUCUAUAAUGCAAUAGCAAUCUAAUAAAUCCUUCAGACGAGCCAUCGUCCACUGAAAUUUAAUGACAAAUUUUAUUAACAAUAUCAAAUAAUAAAAAAGCUUGACCGCAUAGAGGCGGGGCCACUAGACCAAUGCCCCUCAUAAUGUGGUAUAUUUAAUUGGAAAUUGGGAGCUUAAGAAAUCAAAAUUUAUUACUAUAUUAAAUAAUAUAGAAUUCAUAAAUGAGUGAUUGGAUGGGCAAAUGAUGUGGAGGGUACCAAUAGACAAAGAGGAUUUAGCAUGAUUGGUUGUGAUGAUGCUGAUGGCCCAAUCUCGACAGCUACUGUAAUGAUGGAAGAGAUAACAACCGGCCUUUGCAAUUGUUGCGGUUAUACAUUUCUUUUUUAUAAUAUAUAUAUAUAUAUAUAUAUAGAGAGAGAGAGAGAGUGCGGCUAAGAUGCUUACGAAAGCACGGAGGGCUCCGUACUUCUACUUUAUUUUCGAUGUUCGGACUUUCGAAUCGACGAUCGGCUCCGUUAGACUUGAUCUAGAGUAUUUGAAGUAUCUAGAAAAUAAAUUUUGCGAUUUUUCGAUAUCAUUUGCCUAGUGAUCGAAGUGGCUCAAAAUCAACGACUGAAAAUAAAAAUCUUACAAAAUAUGAUGAUAUGAUAUUAAAAUUUUAGAUCAAAGUUAUUGAUCUUGUUUUAUAUGGUAUAAAAAAUUUUCUAUCAAAAUUUCAUGUGAUUUGGAUAUUUCUACACCGUUAAACUUGCAACCGGCUCACCACGGCCUUUAAAUUAUUGAUUUUGAGGCCCUUCGAUCACUAGGCAAAUCAUAUCGAAAAAUCACAAAAUUUAUUUCUAGGUACUUCAAAUACUCUAGAUCAACCUAACGGAGCCGAUCGUCGAUUUGAAAGUCUGAACAUCGAAAACAACUUGGAAGCACAGAGAGCUCCGUGCUUCCAUAAGCAUACCAGCCCACUAUAUAAUUAUAUAUAUAUAUAUAUUAUAUAGAGAGAGAGAGAGAGGAGAGAGAGAGAGAGAGAGAGAGAGAGAGAGAGAGAGAGGAGAGAGUCCGCUAGGAUACUAUCGAUAGCAAGAGCUUGGUGCUAUCGAGUUUUCUACCAUUAGAUUUAACACCUGAUUAUUUUUACCGUUAGAUUAUACUAUUAACCAACCACCCACUCAACCUAGGAGGCUCACAUUAUCCUAACCGCACAUUUCUCAAUCCAAUGGCUAAAAAACUAAUAACACAAAUAGUUUGGUGCUACUGAUAGUAUUACGUCUAGUUCUAUUAAUAUAUAUAUAUAAAUAUAUAUAUAUAUAUAUAUAUAGAUCGGCUACUAUGCUAUUAAUAGCACGAAGCACUUGGUGCUACCAAGUUUUCCGCCGUUAGAUCUACCCUUUGGAUCAUUUUCACCCGUUAGAUCAUACUAUUCAACCAACCACCCACUCAACCCUAGGGGGCCCACAUCAUCCUAACCACACAUCUCUUAAUCCAAUGGCCAAAAACUUGGUAGCACCAACGACUUGGUGCUAUUAAUAGCAUAGUAGCCUAGUUCUAUAUGAGUCCGGCUACUAUGCUAUUAAUAGCACGAAGCACUUGGUGCUACCAAGUUUUCCGCCGUUAGAUCUACCCUUUGGAUCAUUUUCACCCGUUUUCUAGAACAUUUAAAACUUCUAGAAAUUAAAUUUUAUAAUUUUUCGAUAUCAUUUACCUUACAAUCAAUAGCUCACAAAAUUGACAAAUUUUAACGGCCGGUAUGUGAUACUUGUUAGUUUAACGGUGUAAAAGAAUCGAAAUAGCUUGAAUUUUUUAUAGAAAAUUAUAUUCAUUACCUAGAUAAAGAUCAAUAACCCCGAUCUUAAAUUGAAGGAUCCGAUCAUCUAUUUUUAGGACGUCAUUCGAUUUUGGCCGUUCAUUUUAUAUCCACUUAAUGGACUUUAUAAUGAUUUCGAAAAGUUACGAAAUUUAUUUUCUAUAAGUUUCAAAUACUCUAGAUCAUGUUUAACGGUGUGGAUCGUCGAUUCGGAAGCCUGAACAUCGAAAACAACUUAUGAGUACGAAGGACUCUAUACUCAUAAGAGUAUAGUAGCCCUACUAUAUAUAUAUAUAUAUAUAUAGUGAGGCUACUAUGCUUCUGGAAGCACGGAGCCUUCCGUGCUUCCAGAUCGUUUUCUAUGUUGCGACUUUCGAAUCGUCGAUCGGCUCCAUUAAACUUGAUCUAUAGUAUUUGAAGUACUUAGAAAAUAAAAUUUGCAAUUUUUCGAUAUCAUUUGCCUAGUGAUCGAAAGAACUCAAAAUCAAUAAUUUUAAUGGCCGUGGUGAGCUGUUUGCAAGUUUAAUGGUGUAGAAAUAUUCAAAUCAUAUGAAAUUUUGAUAGAAAAUUCUUUAUAUUAUAUAAAACAAGAUCAAUAUCUUUGAUCUAAAAUUUUAAUGUCAUAUUAUCACAUUUUGUAAGAUUUUUAUUUUCAGCCGUUGAUUUUGAGCCCCUUAGUUCGCUAGGCAAAUGAUAUCGAAAAAUUGCAAAAUUUAUUUUCUAGGUACUUCAAAUACUCUAGAUCAAGUUUAACGGAGCCGAUCGACGAUCCGAAAGUCGCAAUAUUAAAAACGAUCUGAAAGCAGGAAGGUUCCAUGCUUCCAAAGCAUAGAGCUUCACUCAUAUAUAUAUAUAUAUUAUAUUAUUAUAAUAUAUAUAUAUAUAUAAUAAUUUAAAACUUUAUAUUUAUAUUAUAAAUAUUUUUAUAUGAAAGAAACUAAAAUAUAUUUGAAAUUCAGAAUUGGAUAUGGGUAUAUGAUGUAUAAAUUUUUUUCAGUGUUUAGGUUGCCCGGUUAGUAUAUAUAUAUAUAUAUUAAAAAAAUAUAUAUUUUAAGUUUUUAGAAAAUAUGGCUUGUUUCAAAUUACUUAUUGUUUCAAGGCGCGGAUAGGAGAAAGCUUGAUGGUUGACAUUUGAGGUUUUAACUUCGAAAGUUAGUAGCUUUACAUUUUUAGCUAAGUUUAUUGUUGAAAAUAAUAAACGAAAUGAAAAGCAUGCUAUCUUUUUCUUUUAAAAGAAAACGAUUAUUUCAAAUUCUUUUAAUAUUAGAGGAUAAAGAAAAGAAGAGUUGCCUAUAUUAAAAGUGCUAUUCAAGAUAACUUAAUAUGAUCGAACCGUCCCUAGAACAAGUGGCAAAGAGCUUGGUGGUUGGUAUCCGAGACCGAACUUCGAAUCCUAGUUGAUUCACAUUUUCAGCCGGAUAGCGUACUAUCUAUCUCUCAAAAAAAGAAGAAGAAGAUAACUUAACAUGAGAUACAAAUAACAAUUUUAUUAAACAAUGUAUCUCAUUUAUAUAAUUUUUUUAUUUAGUAUACCCAGCUUCAUCUUCCAAUUUCUACUGGUAAAAUUCUAUUUCCAUAUCUCAAACCUAUUUCACAUAUUGAUACUGCAAUAAUUAAAAGAGAGUUGAUACGGACACAUUAAAUUUUGUUAAGCCCAAAGUGAAUUUACCUUUUCUUUUCCAUCACUCUACAAUUAUACUCUCAUUCAGUGGAAAGUAACUUUUCACUUAUGAGGGAACCGGAUUAAAUUGAGCAAAAUUAAAAGUAAUUAUUUUUCAAGCCAAACGCGCAUCACUUUUUUUUAAAAAAAAAGGCAACAUGCUACCCGCUUCAUUCAUUCAGAAGAUGAAUUAAACUACAUGGGUGAGGCAACACAGACCUCGAGGAUGGCGGAAAAAAAAAAACAACAUUAUUGCACUGAGCGCAGUUUCUCCCAAAGACUCAUCAACAGUUUAAUCUUAUAAAUUUUAAUGAUGGGGUCAGGCUGUGUUGUCUUGAAGAUCACUCCAUUCCUAAUCUCCCAAAGGGCCCACCAGCAGGCUAUUAGUCCAUUUAGGUCGGUGCAUCACUUUCUUAAAAAUCAACUUCUCUCUCUUUUUCUUUUUCUUUUGAUUUUAACAGGAAUGCCAUCUAAGCUACAGAGAAAAAAAAAUCCCUGAAAAAGAAGAUAGAAAGAGAGAAAACAUAUAACUUCUUUAUUUUUGAAUAAAAUUACAGAAAUUAUAUUAGAACCUAAUUAUUAGAUUAAAAUACUAUUAAUAGCACGAAGAAGUCAUUGAUACUAUUAAGUUUUCGGUCUUUAAAUAAAAAAAUAUGUAGUUAGGAUGAUAAUAGUCUUAUUAGGGUUUAGUAAAUUGAUAUAAUAGUAUAAUUUAAAGGAAGAAAAUGAUCAAAUUAGUCGAUACUAAAUGCUUAGUGCUAUCAAUUAUAUAAUAUAAUUUUUUAAUAAAAUAUUUUGUCGUAGGCAGUGCAUGCACGGCCUACGUUCUCUCGGCCCAGCGGGAGUGGAGGACGAGGCUAUCUCCGGACGGCCCACGGUCACCAAAUUUGGACGGCCAAGAUCGCUUUGUAGGCCGGCGAAACCGCAGAUCGCAGCCGCACACCUCCUACAGUAAAAAAAAACAACCCGUGGGUCCCACCCCCAUAAUUUCCUAUCCCUGUCGUCAACUGACAAAAAUUAUACGGGGGAAUAGCCCGAAACAAGUUUGUUGGGGCCACUCCCGGAUGUGCGCCACGUGGCAGCCGAUCCACGCGGAUCCAUCGGUCUCGUUGCUCUCCCUGUUGGGAGAGCAGUCUAUUUUUUUUUUGUGCACCCGGUGCACUAGUUUGUUUUAAAAUUUUAUUUUUUAUUUUUUAAUUAUAAUUUAAUAAUAUAUAUUAUGAUAUUUUUAAAAUAUAUGUAAAAUAAUUUAGAAUUUAUGAUUUUACAUAUAUAUUUAAAUAUCAUAAAAUAUAUAUCUAUUAUAUUAAAUUAAANAUUUAAAAAUAAAAAUAGUGCACCGGGAGCACCGAAAAAAAUCCGCUGCUUUCCCAAGAGGCAGGGCAGCGGGGACGGUGGCCCGGGGUGCCACGCGGCGCCCAUCCAGACUGUCCUCAAAAAAAAAAUUUUGGACAUGUUGUCCAUAAAUUUUUUGCCCGUCAACGUAAGAAGCAGAAGCAGAAACCGUAGCUCGGUAGCUCCCCUCCAAAACCAAACGCAGCAUCGGCAUCGGUUCCUCCGUCCCUUCGCCUUCCCCGCCUCAUCCGUCCCCACCAAACCAAAGCAUCCGCAUACUUCAAAAAAAGCAAAAAAAAAAAGAAAAAAAAAGAAAAAACAAGAAAAAAAAAAAGAGAGACAUAUAUAUAGGACUCAACGAGGAGACUCGGAGGUGCGCCGUGCGAUGGCUCUCCACGCCGCCGCUUCCUCCGUCGCCGCGUUCGCUUCGAACUCCCGACUCCGCCCCACCAACUCUCCCUCGCCGAGGGCUUUCCCCACAACGCCUCUUUUCCCUUCUUCUUCCUCCUCCUCCUCUUUCGCCCCUCUCCGUACACAUACAGGUUUCGCUCUUUCUUCCAAACUAUGCAUAUUUCAACUGAAUUUAUGUCGCAAGCAAAGAUUAUAUUAAUCUCUAAUUUUGCCUUUAUUAUCGUUGCUAUACCAAAAAAUAAAUCCUUUUUUUUUUUUCUUCUUUUGUGCGUGUGUGUGUUGAAUUGGACUGUACGAGCUAAGUUGAUUGCCUUCAGUACAGUAGAGUUACUUUCUAACACUAGUAAACUUUUUCGUUGCCAUCUGUUAGGGAUUUUAGGAAUAGCCUGCUGUCCCUGUACUGAAUUGCAAUUGUUGUCGUAGGUUGCGUAAGAGCAGCUGCGGGCAGCAAUGGAGUUCUCGCGGCCGGCGAAUCUCCGCUCAUAGUGUGCUUCGGAGAAAUGCUGAUCGAUUUUGUCCCGACCGUCAGCGGCUUGUCGUUGGCCGAAGCCCCCGCCUUCAAGAAGGCUCCCGGGGGUGCUCCUGCUAAUGUCGCCGUUGGCAUAGCUCGGCUCGGCGGUUCGUCGGCAUUUGUCGGGAAGGUGAUGCCCGGUAGAUAGUUCGUUUAUUUAUAUCAAAUUUAGGACACACCUUAUUCCUGCUUUCUUCGCGUUUGUAAGAAAUUUUUUCAAAUGUAAGUAAUUAUCUGUGAAAUCGUGGAUUACUCACUUUAUGCAAAAGAGCUACUUCUAUGGUUGUGAAUAUUGUCGAUCAUCUAAACUGUUUAUCUGCUAUCUUUCUCUCAUUUCUCGGUUUGUCCUGUUUGUUUCGUAACAUACGUAGGUCGGUGAAGAUGAGUUUGGCUACAUGUUGGCUGAUAUCUUGAAAGAGAAUAACGUGAACAACCAGGGCUUGCGGUUCGAUCCUGCUGCUCGAACAGCUUUGGCCUUUGUAACGUUACGAAGCGACGGCGAACGCGAGUUCAUGUUUUAUCGCAAUCCUAGCGCUGAUAUGUUGCUUGAAGUAAACGAACUUGACCUUGAUCUUAUAACAAAGGUAUGUGAUGAAUGAUGACCUUGAUCUUAUAAUUAGAGAGUUCCUACUAUAUAUACCUUACUUCUGUCGUGUAUGGUUUACACAGAAUUUACCUAUUUUAUAUUUAUAUAAUGUAAUUCUAACAUCUUGAUCAUUAAUAUCUGUUCUAGGCAAAGAUCUUCCAUUAUGGUUCUAUAAGCCUUAUAACUGAACCAUGUAAAUCGGCACACGUUGCAGCAGCUAAAGCUGCUAAAGAUGCUGGAGUGCUUCUGUCUUAUGAUCCAAAUCUGCGUCUACCGCUGUGGCCGUCGGCCGACAGUGCUAGAGAGGGAAUCUUGGGCAUAUGGGAAAUUGCUGAUAUUAUCAAGGUAGCUACUUUUCUAAUGCAGUGCUUCUUGAAAUAGUUUCUUGAUCUUAUUUAGCUCAAUGUAUUGGAAAUUUGCAAUAGAUCAGCGAAGAAGAGAUUUCCUUUCUGACGAAAGGAGAGGAUCCUUAUGAUGAUGCUGUUGUGCGAAAACUCUUCCAUCCAAAUCUUAAGUUGCUGCUAGUAACAGAGGGGCCGGAUGGUUGUAGGUACUAUUCCAAGGUAUGUAUUUGCCUAUGCAAUUUCUCAAAGCUCUUUGUUAUCGUUGUCUAAUUUCCACCAGUUUUGUUUCUCUGGUGCAAAACGAAAUAUAUAUAUAUAUAUAUAUAUAUAUAUAUAUAUAUAUAUAUAUGUCUACUUAUUACUGAGGAAAACAACAGAAGCAACUUGGAAGAAAAUUGAAAUUGUAAUUGAAAUUGACAUGGCUAUCCAUGAAAUCUCGUGUCCUCUUCCUUUGCUGGACUCAGUUUUUGCACUUUGCCGCCUGUGAUUAUACUUCUACAUUUUGUUAAUAAAGUUUUCAUUAUUAGAUGUCCAAAAUACCCAGUUAUAUGUCAGAAUAAGAUCAAACUAAUUGAAAAGCCAAAAGUACCAAUCUUAACAUAUAUGAUUUCAAAUAAUAUAGGAAUUUAGUGGGAGAGUAAGUGGACUAAAGGUGACAGCUGUGGACACUACUGGUGCUGGAGAUGCCUUUGUUGCUGGAAUACUAUCUGGAUUGGCCUCAGAUUUUUCAUUGCUCCAGGUAUUACUCUCUCUAACCUACAGUUGUACCAAAAUUCAUUUUUAUGUUAUGUUGAUGUUCUACAUUUCUGUUUCUUUUUUUUUUUAUUUUUAAGCAUAUAGUAUAUUGCAUGCAGCAACCACAGCUUAUUCUCUUCUAAAUUCUAACCUGUGAAGUGAUACUCUGAUCGAGACUUACUGGAACUAUCUUUGAAUAUUAACAGGAUGAAGGAAGGCUAAGAGAAGCUCUGAAAUUUGCAAAUGCUUGUGGAGCUCUCACUGUGAUGGAAAGAGGAGCAAUCCCUGCACUACCAACCCGUCAGGCCGUUCUCGAUGCAUUGGUUAACAUAAUUGCUUAAACUAUUGCUAGUUAUAAUCCCGGGCUCAUUCAUUGUUCGCGGCCUUGUAAAAUGAUUUAGCUUUUAGAGAACCAUAUAUUCAGUGAUUAAUUUUCAAUUGCAACUUCCCGACUUCCUGUUAAGAAACAAAACAGCUUUGCCGAAAAACUCGACCAUGUACUGUUGUACUCUAAAUUAGUAUCAAAAUAAGCUGUGGAUUGAGCUAGUCUUAUUUGUAAAUGGCAUUUGGUGUAGAGUGUGUGAAAAAUUAAAGCACCAUACUUGCUUAAUGACUUGGUUUGAGCUACUCUUAUUUGUAAAUGACAUUUGGCGUAGAGUGUGUAAAAACCUGAAGCACCAUACUUGCUUAAUGACUUAAUUGGGCCACACGCCAUAAUGCCCUUGAUUGCCUGGCAUAACAACAGUAAUACGGCUCCGAUUGACCAUUUAGUUUGAUUAAUUAUCGACCAUUUAGUUUGAUUAAUUAUUGAGCGCCUUUUCCACAUGUUAUGUGAUUAAUGAUUGCAUCUGGUGACUUAAAAUGGACAAUAUGAUGAUUCAAAACAACCUAAUAAUGGAUUAAUGCAAGUUAAAGGAAAGGUAUGUAUAAAAAUGACCAACAUUAGGAGAGGGAGGUAGCAGUGCCCCGUAAAGGGCCCAUAAAAGUUGGAGAGCACAUUUUUUGGAAUAUAUAUGGAAUAUAUAGCACUGUUCGCAUACAUAAAAGUGGGUGUGUAGAGCACAAUACUUAUCUAUAGAUACUGGAAACAGAGAAGAAGUGUUGGUUUCCACUCAUAAGAACCAGAUUCUUGCAAGACACAGUUACCAGAAGGCCAACACACGACAACAAAUAUUUUGGUGUACCCGAUCAAACGCAUCAUGCAACGUCUUUUAAACAUAAGAAACAUAAUCGCUUGUAUUUCAUUUGGUAGUAUUAAGAACUAGAUCAAUGUCGACAAAUUGAUAAUGGUUGCCCCCCUCCUCAACUAAAAAAGUGAUUAUCAACAAAUGAUUGAUAAUAUAUACCACCGGUGAGGUCGCCAAAUAAUAUCACUCGAGAAGCUUAUUGCAUGUCCCAACUCCAACCGCCGCCGCAAGGUGCCAUGCAGCAUGAAGAUAGGGGGUCUCGGGAAAGCAGUCGUCGGCGAAAAAUAGUGCACCUCCUAAUAGAGAGGAAACUGUGUGAAGGUUAUGAGCCAUUCUGAGCGCUGGUUUCUCCAGUGCUUUUCUUGCGAAGGCUACCUGAAAAACACCAAGUCAACAGAUUAUUAAGAAUCUCAAGAAAGCAAACCGUUGAUGUAACCAUCGUCUGUAAAGAGAUGUGAGCUGCUUAUCAGCAGAAACAUUAAGGAAUAGAUGCAGUUCCAAUGGGAAACUGUUGAAUUUCUAUUGAUAAAACAUAAGAAUAGAUGCUUUAUUAUGACUUGCCUCCAUCAUGCCUGUGUGGACAGCUGAAACCAUCAAAGGUUGAAAUGGUAAAAGCAAUGUUGAUGCGGCCAUUAGUACUUUUGGGUUCUCUUCCCUGAGUGCCCUUGAUAGACACUGCACAGAACGAUUGUCUAGUAAGGUACAGGAAGAAAAGGUAACUCGCCCCUCAAUUGAAACUUCCCGUUCGGGAUAAAUAAUAGUAAAAGUUAUUAUGAGGCUCUUUCAGCGAAACAAAUCGAUUCUUUGCCAUUCCUAGAAAAUACAUGUAUGCCCGCUAAGCCACUACAUAGGAACAUAGGAACAACUUAAGAAGCCAAAAACAUAUGAACACGUUUGAUUCUAGCUUAUAUUUUAGGCUAGGCAGGUUUAAUGAACUGAUACCAAAUGCUUUAGAGACCUUUUUCUGCUUAAUUAUCUUCUCUCUUAUGUAUCGAUAGCAGCGAAACAAAAAUAAGAAAAUGUAUGUUUGCGCACUCUCAUGUUCUUGUGCACUCUCAUGUUCUUGCGCAUUCUCAUGUUCAAGGAAUUCAUUUAGAUCGUUGACCAUUUUUUCAGAGGAAACUCCUCAAAUAUGCACAACCAGUUGGUAAGCGUAUCAAACUUACAAGUGAAGCUGCAGCAAUCAUUGUAUAGUCUGCCCAUCUCAGAUAUUUUCUAACUUCUCCCCUUGAAGAAUGAUAUAAGCUUGAUGCGAUCCCCACUCCAACAAGCGAAUUAGCAUAUAAUGCAGUAUUCAAGUUCUUCCUGCAGCACUGAUAGGUAAUUCGUCAGUCGAUAGUGGUAUAAAGAAACAAACGAGGGUGGGGUAUACAACUAAAGGCAUUCUAAUACGAAUAAAUUUUGAAAAGGAACUUGCCGUGGAGCCCGAAGUCCGAGAAAUAUGAAAGGCAUUGAGGUCAAGACAUUUGCAAUAGUUUCCCCGAUAUGACUAUCGCCUGAUACAGGAGAUAUAUACGCAUGUCAAAGCUGAUGCAUAAAAGAAAUUGUUGGAUGUGCGCACCAAUAACGGCCUAAGUAGAAAAUACCUUGCAGACUACAUUUGAUGGGCCUCAAGCACGACGGCCUCUGCUGCCAUAGUUGCCUGAGGAAACAUGUCAUACAUUACCCUGUUAGUUAUAUUUACAUAAGAUAUGUACAAAUAGUCCAAGACACACUCGAAAAUUGCAACUAAGUUCAAUUGUAAAUGAAGAACAACUCACCUGAUUAACAAUCCUUGGCUUAUUCCGACAAUCCCCGACCCAUCACAAGCUGAUUGAUCAAAGCCGCCUUGGCGAAGAUCCUCAUCCUCUCUGUAAGAUGAUCGAUUCACAACUUGUACCCCAUGGAGCCCUUCUAAAACUCUGGGCAUUGAUGCAUCUUUGAUGCCCAUUUAUACACUCGAUGGCAAGCAACCCAAUCUAAUUUCUUAUUGGCUGGUUGUCUCAUACGGCAGUUAGAUUAUCUGCACAUGCACAAAGAAAACGACACAAAAGGUUUGGUACAAAUAACAUGUGCAAUAGUCACUCUCUGAAAACUUCAAAAUCGACUUUAGGAAGCAAAAAUCGAUCACCAGCGAGAACAGUUCAAGUUCGUCUAUGCCCCACUCAAUGUGGCGUGCAAUCACAUUAUAUAGCCCUUAGGCGGAUACAUCUGUAAUUGACUCAGGAUCAUUCUUAACAGGUGUUGGUUGGCACUCAACACGCCACUUUUUUUAUCCAGGAAUAUUAGAUGCGCAGAUUAAAUCUGUUUCGUUUUUACUUAAUAAAUAGUGAACUCCAGUUUCAUAAUGUAUAAUUAGCGAAAUUCCAAUUUUGGUCCUCUUCUGGUUGAGUAAGGCUCUAACUAAGUAACCUAAGAUUUUCAAGCCCAAAUAACCAGAUAAAAUAUCACUAUCCUUGUCCUUAAAGAUGCAAGCACAUGUUCCUACUUUUGAUGAGAACUAUUGUCGAAGAGUAAAAUCCAGCAUAAACAUAAUGGAAUUAGGCUCUACGGAAUCGAUUCAAGCUGAAAUAGUCACAAUGCCAGAGAAGCACCAAAAUUGUCGGAUAAUUUUGCCCUUAGAUUUGCACAAGAUUCAAUAAAAGAGCAAAAAAUUACUAAAGAUAAUAGGAAAAAAAAAAAAGCCUGAAAUUGAUACAUACAAUCAACAUUAAUCAGGAGAACUCAAAACCCUUGCUCUAUGAAAUCAAAUCCAAUCCCCCGAAAAAUAAGAAUUUUCUUACGAUUCUUUAUACUUAAAAAGAAAUCAUAAUCAUAAUCAUAAAAUAAGAGAAGUAAAAAAAAAAAAAAAAAAAAAAAAAAACCUGAAGAGGAGGGCGGAGAAGCAGCUUAUCGUCACCGCGCGGCUUCGGCUUUUUCUCGCAGCGAAAACAUAGGUUAAUUUGUUAAAAUAGAACAUUUUCUUUAUAGAACGAAGUUUAUAAUAAAAUUAGUAUCUUAUUUUGAAGUAACUUUUUUUUUCUUCACAUCAAGAAAACGUCUAUCUGUUAAUUUAAAGGAUUCAAAAUACGGAAGAAAGAAUUUGAAGCAAACUCUAACGCAGUGCACGCCACUCUUUCAUACUAACUUUUUAUAAAACUAACAUAAAACAUGCAUUAUAACGCAAGAUAUAUAACACUACUCGGCCAAUAUUAUAUAAAAAAUGCCGAGAUAGCCUCUUGCAUUUUCAUAUAGGGAUAUAUAUAAAAAAAGAUUGAAAUAAAAUAGAUUAUCGCAGUUUAUUUGGAGUUAUGGUUUGAUUUGUAAAGGAAAAAAAAAAGGUCGAAAUAAUAGAGAGCCGAUAUUUUUAGCACCCUGUAAGAGCUCUAAUGCGAUGCGAAGCAGUCCAGACUAUAACCAAAUUGGUUGGUGUUGUGCGGUGCAAUAUUAGUCUAAAUCUCUGGCGUAUCCUGAGUGUGUCGGCCCAACGCAACCGUGAAGUAUGCCCCGCUUAGUUUAGGGGAGGAGACGGCUUAGGCGUCUCUCUCUCCCUCCCUUUGCAGCUUCGCUAUCUCAUCGCCCUCCCUUAACCCCUUAUAGGCAUAUUAAGGGGGCGCAUUCUAGGAAAGCCUUAGGCGUAGCAAAGAGGCUAAGGGAGGGGGGGGAGAGAGAGAAAUAUAUAUGAGCAGGGGGUGCGUAGGGGCNAUAAAAUUGUUUAAUUGGAUACUAAUAAUAUUUUGUAUAUAUAUACAUAAAAGUAUGGAGAAUUUUAUAAUUAGAUGUUAAAAGUGAUGUAUGAUUCAUUUAUUUCAGAUUGCAUAAAAAAUUAAAAAUACCGAUAAAAUGGUGGGUCAUUUACUGCUUAUCACAAGGGUUAAGAUCGACCAAAUAUAAAAAUUUAAUGAUAAUUACAAAAAAAAAAAGCCUAUUUAAAUACACAUGCAAAUAGUCAGUGGAUAUAUCAAAUAUAAAUAUAUAGAUAAAUCUGUUUGGAAGAUCAUAUUCAGGUUCAUGGCAGUUAGUUACAUUCUUAUUGAUGUACAUGCCGGGUGAACACAAACCAAUUUUUAAAUUAAUACUCCUAUAAUUUGAAAUUGUGUAGAUUGCAUAUUUGUGUAAACGCAUACUAAUCGUAUUCCCCAUGAGAGUGCGCUGAGAAAAGAUACUUGACAUUAUAAUUUUUUAAAUUUUAUAUAUAUAGUUCGACUACUACAUUCUUAUGAGUAUAGGUACUUCUUUGUUGUUGAAGCAUAAAAAAAAAAGGGGGAAGAAGAAGAAAAAAAGGAGCAAGAAAAAAGAUAGAAAGAGAGAAAAUUUGAAUAAUGGUGUAUGAGAUGAUCCAUACACUACGCAUGGAAAAAUUCGAGUUUAAAUUUUGAGUCUGGUGCAUAGGUUAAUCCAUGCACCAGGUGCAUAGAUUAUAAAAAGUGGGAUGUCCUCGUAGGCAUGAAUGGAUAUUACAAAUAGCAAAUUAGUCCUUUCCCUUUCAUAUGCUCCUUCAAACAUAUAAUAUUCUGUUAUUUUAACUAAGAUAUAAUAUAAACAAAUGGGAAUGACUAAUAUGUAAUUUAAUACCUAUGAUCCCAUAAUCCUACAUCGUAACUUCCCACAAACCUCACCAUAUGCACUUCCAUACGCACAUUCUCCCGGGUAGUUAGACUAGACCCAUAAAUAUCUCUCAAUGAGAAAAGAAAAAGAGGACACAGAUUUGAACCUUCAAACAUAUUCCUAAACAAAAAAAUCCAUCCCAUCCCCCUGUUCACGAAAGAGAAAAAGAAAGGUAUAAUAUUUUUUUCUUCACCAUUAAUGCCACAAUCAAAGCUCUCUCUCUCCCUCCUAAAAAGUAAAAAAAAAAUAAAAAAUAAAAGAAAAAGAAAAGAGGGGCCCUCUGUAUGUCCACCCUCAUCAAGCCCCUCCUUCCCGCUCCGCCCACUCCCCCAAGCUCCUCCGCGGCCUCCGCGACUGCAUCGACUCCGACGUCGCCGCGAUCCUCCGCACCGCCCACUCCAUCAAGGCGCAGCUCGAAGCCCUCGACGACUCCAACGCCGCGAACCGUGCCCUCUCCCCGCGCUUCGCCGCGGGGAUCUCCGUCGACCGCACCAGGAUUUCGGUUACCCACGGGAUCAGGGCGAAGCUUCGCGACGCCAUGAUCGGGUUCCAGAAGCUCAGGAAGACGAUCCUCUCCGACCACAAGGAGACCCUGAAGCAAAACUACUACAACGCCACGGGAAAGCUCGCCUCCGACAAGGUGCUCGACGAAAUGCUCAAGUGGAGCGGCGACCCCAUGGAUCCGCGGUGGCCGUGGUCACCAUCAACCGCCCGGGCGCGCUCAACUCGCUCACGCGCCCCAUGAUGGUCGCGCUCGCAGGCGCGUUCCGCCGCCUCGACGCCGACGCCGGGCGCGGCCGCGCCUUCUGCUCCGGCGUCGACCUCACCGCCGCCGAGGAUGUCUUCAAGGGCGACGUCAAGGACCCCGCCGCCGACCCCGUCGCCGCCAUGGCCGUGUGCCGCAAGCCCAUCGUCGGCUCCAUCGCCGGAUUCGCCGUCACCGCCGGGUUCGAGAUCGCCCUCGCCUGCGACUUGCUCGUCGCGGGCGGCGACGCCAAGUUGGUCGACACCUCGCCAACCCCUGCGCUGCCAAAGCCGUCCGAUCCUCACCGAUCCUGCGCUGCCGAAGCCGCCCGAUCCUCGCCGAUCCUGCGCCGCCGAGGCCGCCUGCUCCUCGCCGACCCCUGCGCCGCCGAAGCCGCCUGCUCUUUCGCCGAGCGCCUCGUCGCCUUCGCCUGCGUCGAGGGCUUCUUCUCCGGCUCCUGCUGAGCCAUCUUCUGGCUCAAGAAGCGUGGCCUCAUGCCCGGGCUCACCUUCUCCAACGAGCUCAUCUCCCGCGACGAGGGCCUCCACUGCGACUUCGCUUGCCUCCUCUACUCCCUCCCAGGGCUGGCAAACGAGCGAGCCGGCUCGCGUUCGACUCGUGUUCGGGUCGAUAUUCGACUCGCUCGAGCUCGACUCGAAAUUGAAUGAGCCGAGCUUGAACAAAAUAAAAGGCUCGAAAUUCAUUUCAAGCCGAGCUUGAGUAUUACUCGGCUCGUUCGAAUUAGGCUCGAAAAGCUCGAAAAGCUCGAAUAUAUAUAUAUAUAUAUAUAUAUAUAUGUAGUAUAUAUAGAGUAAUGUAUAUAGAUAUAUAUAUUAUUUAUAUAAGGUAAAUACUAUCUAUAUAGUGCAGCUAUGGUGCUUGUACAAGCACCAAGCACUUGGUGCUUGUAAGUUUUGUACCGUUAGAUCUACUCCUUUGAUUAUUUCCAACCAUUAGAUUAUACUAUUCAACCAAUCAUUCCACUCAACCCUAGGGGGCCCACAUCAUCCUAAUUGCAUAUCUCUUAAUUCAAUGGCUAAAAAUUUACAAGCACCAAUAACUUGAUACUUUUAAAAGUAUCAAAGCUCAAUUCUCUCUCUCUCUCUCUCUCUCUCUCUCUCUCUCUCUAUAUAUAUAUAUAUAUAUAUAUAAUGUAUUUUAAUUAUAUAUAGGCUUUAAUUUAAUUUGGACUAUUAUUGUUUGCCCAUAAAAUAAACCCAACAAGUACAACCAUGCAAUUGAGCCCAACUCUAAAUUUACAUAACACACUCUCUCUUUCAGACUUUCACUAUUGCACAUAAUACUAAAACAUGAUAACAUUCAAAUUCUCAAAUCCCUAAUUUUUUUUCCCCUCUCUCUCUCUCUCCUUCUCCCUCAGACCCUCACCCAGUCAGGCAGUCACCCUAGCUCACAUUUCUUGCAAUUAUUUUGUAUUUUGAACUAUUGAACAUAUUGCAUCAAAUUGUAGGUAAUGUUAUAUAAAAAUUAAACUAUUGAUUAUAUAAUGUCGGGAAUUUCAAUAGGCUCGUUUAGAGCUCGAGCUCGGCUCGACUCGAAAUUAGGCUCGCUCGAGCUCGGCUCGAAUUAAUUUCAAGCCGAGCUUGAGCCUAGAUUUAGGCUCGAAAUUAAUUUCAAGCCGAAUUUGAGCUGACAUAAGCUCGCUCGAGCUCGGCUCGUUUCCACCCCUACUCCCUCCUUCGCUCCGCGGCGGCGCGCAACCCGCGCACGCUCGACGAGACCCUCAGCGCCGCCGACGCCGAUCCCUUCAACAGGAAGCUCUUUGUCCACGGCCUUGGGUGGGAAACCACCUCCGAGGGGCUCCGCGCCGCGUUCGCCCGAUACGGCGAGAUCGAGGAUUGCCGUGUUGGUUUCAUCCAAUUCCGUCACCGGAGCUCGGCGAGCCGCGCCCUCCGCGAACCCCAGAGGCUCAUCGACAACUGCAUGACCGCGGGCCAGCUCGCCUCCACCAAACUCACCCCCGCACUGAACCAACUCGUCACCGCUCACCAGGUGUUCGAUCUGUGGCCACAAUGAGCCAUGGCGUCGGUCCAGGCUGUGGCGCUCAAGGCGGAGCACGCGUAGGCGGUGGACGCGCUGCAGAAUGCGCCGCAAUUGGUGUGCGGCGGCAGGCGGCCUGUGGACGCCAACAGCGAGCUCUUGGCCGCCGGCACUUUCGUUGACACCUGCCAGGACUCGUUCGACGAGUUCCUAGACGUCGACGGUUCGCACCUCGCAAACGUGCAGCAGGCUCGCCAAUAACAACAUCAGCCUCGCCGCUUACAAGGCCGCCUAGGAUGUUGCUAUGACGGAGUUGGCGCCAACGAAUCAUGCCUACCAAUUGUUUGACGAAAUGCCCAUGACACAUCUUUCGACGGCGAAUCCAAUCUGUACAUAAAGAGAGAGAGCGGUGCUCUUCUCUUUAUAAAAAAAUGUGUUAUUAAAAGAGAAAGAGCGGUGUUCUUCUCUUUAUAAACAAUAUAGCAUCAUCGAAAGAGAGAGAAAGCGGUGCUCUUCUCUUUGCAAAACAAAAAAAUAUUAUCAAAAGAGAGAAAGAGAUUACUUCUCUAAUUAUGAAGGAGAGAGGGAGCUUUGUUACAAAAAGAGAGGCGAUGAAGAGAUUUUCCCACCUUAGUUGUCCCAUGAAUGUAAAAGAGACAAAAGAAGAUCUAUCUUUGUUGUCUUAUAUUUUCAAAGGAGAUAAAGAGAAAAAAUGUGUUCUCUUAAUUCUCCUACAAUGAAGAGACAAAAGAAAAUUAGUCGGAUUACCGAUUAAUAUUCUUUUGAUCGUCCUUUUAUUGGAAGAACAAUGUAAUGUUCGAAAAUAAUCGAACUCUUUGAUUCUAUCCAAAGUUGAAUCUUUCGAUUUGGUCGAAUUAGACCAAAUUGAGAUUUAAUCGCAUUAGACAUUUUAUGUGAUUCACGACUGAGAAUUUGACAAAUAAAAAAAUGCAUUCGAAAUUUUUAAGCUAUGAAUUUGAUUCUGAAUCUUACAAUCUCAUAUGAUCCCAAAUUAACCACCUCAAAACAAUGGACCAAGCCCGUUCUCACCUCAAAUCUCAUAACCCAAGCUCAACAUGACCCAAGUUCAGCCCAAACAUAAAUUUGGGCCCAAUUCUAUGACUUGCUUAAAAGAAAAUUUGGACUUAUGCCAUACGGGCCUAAAUUGAGCCCAAGCCCACAUGUAAUUCAAACCUCCACCUGAAUCCAUAUUAAACGGGCCUAAACUGGGCCUAUGCCUAUAUCCAGAACUUAAAAUUUAAUUCAGGCCUCAACUUGAGUCCAUACCAUAUAGGCCUGGAUCUAGUCCAUGUUGGAAUGCAACUAUAUGGACCCAAAUUUGGACCAUGAAUGAAUCCAUCCGAGAGUUGAACCAUAACUUGAAGCUAUACCUAGCCCAAGUUUGAAUUCCAAACUGGUUCAUAAAAAUGGCUAAAUCGAAUAAAAUCUAAAUUGAAAACCAAUUCAGACCAACAUCAAACCCAAAAAUCUAACCCAAACCAAGACCUUAAAUCAUGCCUAUCAGAUCAAAUAUGAAACCAAACUCUACCAAUUUGUUAAGGGCAAAUCUUUUUAAUCCAAUUCUCUAGCAUAUUAAGCUAGAGUCAUAUUGUUAUCACAUUCAUAUUAGAUCAAAUUCUAAAAUAUUUGUUUAGAAUUGAUCAAACCAUCUAUUAGGUUUCACCUAAUCAGUUCAAUUGAACUCUAAUACACUUACUUAGAGUUCAAAUAAAUGAAAUUGAAUUAGACUCUAAUACAUACACUUAGAGUUUAAUUUAAAUUACAUUUGACUAAUCCUAAUAUAUAUAACCAGGAUUUAGUUGAUAUUUUACCUCAUGGUGAACCCAAAUUAGUCUCUAAUACAUACACUUAGAGUUUAAUUUAAGUUAAGUUAUAUUUUGACUAAUCCUAACAUAUAUAACUAGGAUUUAAUUGAUAUUUCAUCUCAUGGUGAACCCAAAUUAGACUCUAAUACAUACACUUAGAGUUUAAUUUAAAUCAAAUUUUGACUAAUCCGAUUUAGUUAAUAUUUCACCUUAUGGUGAACUCAAUGUGAGGUGUAAUUAAGCUCAAACAUAUAAGCAUAGAGCUUAAUUACAUUAGACUCUAAGAUAUAAAAUUAGAGUCUAAUUCGAAAUAUUUGGACUAAUUCUAACACAUACAUUUAGGAUGAAAGCUUAAAUCAAUUUAAUCAAAUCAAACUCUAAUGCACCUAACUAGGGUUUAAUUUGAAUCAAAUCCGAUUAAGUCCCAAUGCAUAUACAUGAAAUUUAAUCAAUCCCUCACCUAUGGUGAACAAUAUUGUUGAGCACUGAAACAUAUAGAGCCCAAUCAAAUCAAUUUGAUCAUACACUUUGAUUCAGAAUCAAGUUCAAUCAACCGUCAUAUUCAUUCAUGUACAUUGGGGGUAUGCCCCUGGUUAAGCCAUGUAACUAUACAAUGGAUUAUGUUAUAAAAUCCACCUUUUAUUCAAUUUCAGUCUAUUUCAGCAUUACAGAGGUCUCUUAAUCGAAGGUGUCCUAACACUUUGAAGGGAUAAUUAACAAUAAACGCUUGCGUUUAUUGGAAGCCAUGAAUCCACAAUACCUGAUAACCAUAUAUAAUUAAAUCUUAAUCUGAAUCAUGAAUACUACCCCAUGGGAAUUUGAAAAUAAGAUUAACCGUGCAAGGUGUGUCAUUCGUGGUCGCAGACAUUUGUAUUCAUAAGUUUUCAGUCGUUAGAUUUACCUUUUUGACCAUUUUCAUCCGUUAGAUUAUAAUAUUCAACAAACCACUCGCUCAACCCUAGGAGACCACUAUCAUCCUAACUGCACAUCCCUUCAUCCAACAGUUGAAGACUUAUGAGCACAAAGUAAAUUAUACUUAUAAGAGUAUAGUAGCCCUACUUUCUCUCUCUCUCUCUUUAUAUAUAUAUAUAUAUAUAAAUCUAAACAUAUGAUUCCGAUACAAAUUCAAACCUCUCCUCUCUGAAGUUAAAGGAAACACAAUAUGGAGUAUUGGAGUGGAGUAGGGCUACCAUUAUUUCUUUUUCUUUUUUUUUUUUUGAGAGAUAGGUAGCACGCUAUCCGUUUCGUUUAUUUCAUUUAGAAAUAAACUUAGCUGGAAAUGUGAAUCAACUAGAAUUCGAACUUGGGACCUGGGGUACCAACCAUCAAACCCUUUUGCCACUUGCUCUAGGGACGGUCGGUGGCUACCGUUAUUUCAAGUGAAAAACAAUUGGUAGGUGUAUUAGCUUAACACAAAAGCUAGUACUACAAUUUUUUUCUUGAACAUAUAUAAUUAGUAUAAUGAACUGUAUCGCUGUACUAAUCUUAUUUUUCUAAUCCUACUUUUCUUUGUGUGAGAUCUUUUUAGUUACUAUUUUUGUAGUUGCCCAACGCACGAUUUGAAGUUCUUUCACCAAUUUGUUAGCAUUGUACACAGCAACCACUAAGCCAAACCUCUAGGUGGGGUGGGUGAAAGAGAACUAACCUCUAUAGUGCGCACUUUGGCUUGGAAAUUAACAUUUCUUUGGAAAUUAGCACGACCACUUUCCUUUGCAAUGUUGUUUUACUUCCCUUUUUGGUAAAAAUCUGAUCUUAUCCCUCAUAUUUGUAAGUUCUUCUUUUAGGCACAUCUUCUUUUAGCUUGUUACAGUGUAAAAACUCAAUUUAGAUCAAUACUAACUUUAACAGAAGAAAAAAAAUGAAUUGUUUGGAGAAUGAUUUAGUGAAUGAAGGAAGCUAUUAAUUUAGACACUUAAGUUGGGGUUGAAACUUGAAAUACAGAAUUAGUAAUUGGAAAAUCCUUUUAUUCCAUAGUUUUAUUUUAUGCAACAAUAUUCUACUUGUAUGUAUCGCAAUCUAAUAGGACUUAAAGGCCCAAUAUUAAUUCUACACGCAAGUAGAGUGGUAUGACAUGCACUAUCUAUUUUUGUGAUGAAAAAGAGAUUCUAAGGACUUCAAUAUGCUGUUAUAUGUACUAGAAUCAAUAAGAGAGAAACACUCGAAAAGUACUUCUAUAUCUUUUCCUUCACGUACUACAACAGAAAACAAAAUAAAUAAACAAGACGAGUCUCGCAUCCAUCUGAAUUACGACACAAUUUAAUUAAAACACCAUCAGAAAUUUAACAAAAUAAAUAAACAAGACGAGUCUCGCAUCCAUCUGAAUUACGACACAAUUUAAUUAAAACACCAUCAGAAAUUUAUCACGUAAUCGUAUUACUGGAUCGCCUAGUUUUAUGUUAUUGUGGAGGUUUGGAUGGUAGUCUCAAAUUGUGCUUAUGUUGAGUAGAUCUAAAACUUUUUUUCUCCAGGCGCGCGGUACAUAGUCUUUUACUGUCCCUUGUCCUUCACUGAAAAUUAAAAAUUUCAAGUGAUAACUAGCUUGAAAUGAUCAAAUAAUAUUGCUACUUAUCCAACUUCAAAAUCAAAUGUGAGUAAAAAAUUGGUGAGCAGAAAUUAUGGUUUCUUUAGACUGUAUGUAGAGCCAUUAUUAUACAAUGUGUACGUAGGGAAAAACUUUGAAACAGUACUCAUAAAGAAUUCUUUUGAUAUACUGAUAACACUCUGAAUGCUAUCAAUAAACUAUCAAAAAAAAAAUGUAUAUUGUGAAUAGCAAUACAUAAACAACGGACAAAAACAAGUUAAAAAAACUAUUUUAAUUUAUCUAUCUAUAAUAUUGUUUUCACAAUUUAGAUUGGGCUUAAGUACACCCCACUACGCUGUAUUUUUGUUUUAUCUGCUAUAUUGUACUAUACUAUUCUUUUAAAAGAUACCAUCAUUCUAUCAUUUUUUAUCAAUUUCUACAGUAUAUUUUAGAGUUAUUGUGGUAUUCUAUUUUAUACUCGUAUUCUCAUAGAUCUCAUUAAGUUAUCUUUAGGGAAAACUUCAAAAACCCCCCCUGUGGUUUCGUGCAUUCUCACUUUGCUACCCUGUGGUUUAAAAUGUAUCAAUUUACCCCCCUGUGGUUUCAUUUUUAUCUUUUCGGAAGCUUUUUCGUUAAUAUUUCGUUAAAUUAUAUACAAAAAACUUCAGAUAACCAUCUAUAUUUAUCAAAUAGUCACUUUAGUAUCCUUUAAUUUUAACUUUGUCACUGAUUUUAAAAAAAAAUAAUAAUAAAAUUGAUAACAAAAAGAUAAAAACGAAAUCACAGGGGGGCAAAUUGAUACGUUUUAAACCACAGGGUAGCAAAGUGAGAAUGCACGAAACCACAGGGGGGGUUUUUGAAGUUUUCCCUUAUCUUUAUUUCGGCAAUCUAUAUAUAUGUCUUACUAUAUAUUAAUAAAUUAAUUAUAUUAGACAAAUUAUAAGAAGUUUAUUAAAAAGCAAAAGUUUGAUCCCAAGAAAAAUACAAAAUAAUAAAUCUUCAACAUAAAUUCAUUAAAAUUUUCGAUAGAUCUGUUUUAACCCAAUUCUUCCUUUUCUUUUGCGUUUUUUCAUUUUUUUCUGUUAAAUUCGAUUAAAUAUAUACUUGACUAUUUUGAAUCAGUACUUUUUCAGUAAAACUAUUCAAUUUUAUCUAAAAUAAUUUAAUAAUAUAUUUUUCUAAAAUAAUAGUACAAUAUAUGUAGCUAGGUUAGUGCAACUAAGGAGUUUAGAAUCUUAGAUUGCACCUCUUGUAAAAUCAUGCAGUUGGCGCAACACCGCUGCGAAAAGCAGUAGAGACUAGAGAAUGUGAGGGGACUAGAGCACGCACGUCAUGAUGGCGUGCUGAUGACAUCAAUUGUCCGGUCCCACCCCCCACCCCUCCUCCUCUCGGUGGUGGAUGCUGGUGGUGGCAUCAUUUCUCCCUCUCUCUCUCUCUCUCUCUCUCUCUCUCUCUCUCUCUCUCUCUCUCUCUCUCUCUCUCACACACACACACACACUCUCUUUGUUUCUACAGGACCAAGCCUAGAACGAGAAAAGAUUAAACAAAGGGGCGUCCGAAACCCUAGCGCGUUUCCAACCCAACCAUCAUAUUUAAGAGGGGGAGAGAGAGAGAGAGAUGGGAUAAAUGCAUAGGGAGAUAGUAAGGAGUAUAUAGUGCGCAGCAGGACACAAUCAUUUGGUCGUUUCUGGGGAGGGGAGGAAGGAGAGAGAGGAGGCGUGGAACUGCAAAAAGCUAAUCACCAACGCAGGCGCAGGGGACAAAACGUGGUUCUUCAACCAGGUGGACCUUUUUAUACCCUCCCCCUUAAUCAAUUUAUUAAUGUCUUACUUUUAAAAUAUAUAUAUACAUACUCUGUACCCUUUAUUAUUGACCCCUCAUCAGCCCUGGUCGGCUCCACUACUGUUACAAAGAAAACCCCAUUUUUCUAAUAAAACAAUAAUAUAAUAAUAAUAAUAAUAAAGUUAUAGCGCAAAAGGAGCUCGUAGUGCCGUACACGAGCUUCCCCUCCUCCUAUGUGUGUACAUGUGUGCUCGCGCUGAGGCUUCCGCACCUUCCUCGUCGAGCACUUAACCAAGGUCCAAGCAAAAAAAAGAAAAAAAAAAAAACACACACACACACACACACACAACACAAAAAGCGAAGGUAAAAGAAGCGAGAAAGGCUUAAAAGGAGACCGACCAUUGACUGGAAAAGCUAACGAAGAAGAUAGAGAUCGAGAUCGAGAAAGAGAGAAGCAGCAGCAGCAGAAGUGGGAAGGGAGAGAGGGAGGGAGGGAGAGAGGGAGGGAGGGAGGGAGAGAGGGAGAAAGAAGCACAAACUUUGCUAUGUGGGAAGAUAGAGUUCACGGUCUCCACUACACCGCCACGAACACUUCUUCUACUAGUACUACUACUGGUGCGACGAUACUCGGAGGCGACACCGCAACCGGUCUCUUACACAACCCCACCACUAUUCUCCCAUGGGCGGUAAACCCUAGCGCCUACUCUCUUCCUUAUCAUGCUCCCUUCAACGGCGACUUUUACCAGCCCGAGAGGAAUUUUCCGGCGUUGGGCGCGUCGACGGAUCAAGCAGAUCUGUCGGGCCUGCACAUCGGCUCGUCGACGGAGAGACUCCUGCACGGGAAAGCAGGGGGGUUGGCGUCGACGAUGUCGAUCUUCGGGAGCCUCCACGCGGAGUUCGGCAAGAUGAGCGCCAAGGAGAUCAUGGACGCCAAGGCGCUCGCCGCCUCCAAGAGUCACAGCGAGGCCGAGCGCAGGCGCCGCCAGCGCAUCAACGGCCAUCUCGCCAAGCUGCGCAGCUUGCUUCCUAACACCACCAAGGUGAGAUCAGUAACAAUAAUUAAUUCCUCCCAUUAAUCCACUAUAAUUAUUAUUAUUAUUAUCAUUAUUUCCGUCAUCUGUAAAUUAUCUGAAGUCGAUAUAUGCAUAUAUAUUCGGGGAUCUCACAUGGAUUUUACAUAUAUUCUAAAUUAAAGAUACGAACGAACGAGUGGUGCAAUCACUCUUUGGGCGUGUUUGUUUGUUUUUUCCUGAUCUUCCAGCAGGAAACUCGCUCUCUUGUCGGAGAUUGAACAUGAGGUGUGUUUGGAGGCGUAUGCUAUGUUUCCUACCAGCACCAAGUCAAAGAUCACACAUACAGGCGCUUAAUUCUAUCCUUCCACAAACUGAUGAUGAUUUUUCUUGGGCUGCGAGAAUUUAGAGAGAGAGAGAGAGAGAGAGAGGAGAAAAGAGAGGACAAAGAGGUGGAAAAGAGCCGCCGAGUUGAAUGUUGUUUGACGCUCAAAAGGGAAACCGGAGGAGCAGAAUUUGAACAGAUCAGCUUUUCGUGGGAGCUGCUUCUGCCGGAAAACUAAAAAAAAGCUCCUAAGAAAGACAAACACGCGCACCCCCUUCUUGUCAGAACCCAUUAUUAAAGCUGAACCGGAAAAAAAAACAAAAAAAACAAAAAAAAAAAAAACGGGCACCACCACUAGUCGCACGGUUCUGCAGCUUUUUUUUCCCCACGCCCAUAAUCCCCCGUCCAUAUCCACACUCCCUAACCGAACCUAUUAUUCCCAUUCAAUUGUUCGUUAUAUAUUUCAGAAACAAGUCUAUUAUGUAGAUCUAAUGGAUAAGAAUUAUAAGCUCUUAUGAAUCGCUGUUGAUUUGAUAUUAACAACAGCAGUCAUUUUAUUAUUAAAAAAAAUAAUACCAGUUGUAUUAGUAUGUCAAGAAUACAUAUCUAUGAUUCGAAUGAUGCAUAUUGAAUGGUGAAUCUGUUCAAUUUGAAUAUAUAUAUAUAAAAGUUUUUUUUUUUCUUUUUUAUUUCGUUAAUGCGGAACCAAUACAAUUCAAAUUGAGUUAUAAUUGUUUUGGUUCCUCUCUAUAUAUAAUGUGACAGACGGAUAAGGCGUCGCUGCUGGCGGAGGUGAUAGAGCACGUGAAGGAGCUGAAGCGGCAGACGACGGCGAUCACGGCGGAGGGCGGCACGCUGCUGCUGCCGACGGAGGCGGACGAGCUGACGGUCGACGCGGCAGGCAGCGACGAGGACGGGCGGCUGGUGGUGCGGGCGUCGCUGUGCUGCGACGACCGCUCCGACCUCAUCCCCGACCUCGCGCGGGCCCUCAAGUCGCUCAAGCUCCGCGCCCGCCGCGCCGAGAUCGCCACCCUCGGCGGCCGCGUCAAGAACGUCUUCAUCAUCACGGCCCACGACGACGCCUGCCAUAGCGACUGCGUCGCCUCCAUCCAAGAAACGCUUCGCGCCGUCAUGGACAAAAAAACUGCCACCAGCGACACGUCAUCGUCCAGCAGCGGAAUCAAGCGGCAGCGGACGAACCGCGUAGAUGAGCAACAAGGUUCUAUCUAAUUAACUAAUUUCUAUAUAUUCUCUUACCAUCUUGGGUACGUGCUUAAUUAGAUUUUUAUCUGCAUGGUGUUGGAGUGUUGUGGUGUAUGUGUGUGCGUGGGCGGUGCAUAUAUGUGUGCACUUUUAACAAGAGGGAGAAUUUUAUGUAUCCCUUUGUUGUUGGGUGGUUUGCAUGGGGAUGAGCUAGGAAGGGCUUUGAGUGGUGUUUCUAGGGACAAGGUUUGGGUUGUGAAAAAUAAGCGGAUCUGAUUAUAUCAAUGGGAGAAGAUAAGUUGGGUUUGUGGCUUUAAAUGAUAGAUUUAGUCGACUAAUCUCUAUGCAUCUCUAUGAUAACUAUAUAGGUCAAGCAUCUGCAUUGGUUUUAGGAGACCUAUAAACCUAAAAUCAUAAUAUAUCUCGCAUAUUUUUCUCUUGAAUUUAUGUUUAAUUUCGAUCUCGUGUGCGUUAGAGAUUUUAUGUUCAAUUUUAUGAUUUCUUUUGAUCAACUAUAUAUUAUUUAGCACUAAUGUAUGUCGAAUACACAAUUUUAAAACAUCUGUCUCUGGUUGUUUAAUUACUUUAAAAUUCAGUUAUUUCAAUUUUCUAUAUUUAAAUCAAGUUCAUUUGUAUAUGUUUUGAAAAAAUGUCAGGCCAUUUAGUGUCGAGUCCUUUUAUGAGUUUUUUUUUUAAAAAAAAAUCAUGUAAUCAUGUGCCCAUUGGUACUUGGCUUGUUCAUUUUUGUAAAAAAAAUAGAGCAGGUUAAAUUUUUUCUUUCUCUUUCUCGAACAAAAAAUGUUGUGAAUAACACUGUAAUUUGGCUUUCCUUUCUUCUUUUUAUCUUUUUUUACAAGCAUUCAUUAAUUGGAGCCUUUGGACUAUGUUAGAAUUAUAGUUUUUUUGUUUUUUUUGGGUAAAUGUGUUCUACUGCUUGUCUAAUUAUUACAUCUUAGUUGUCUAUGUAUAUCCUGAUACAUAUAUGUUUCUUGGACUCGGAAAUAUUAUAGAAACAAUAUAUUUGACCUUUGCAUGAAGAACACGAGCCAUAUUUUAUAUUGUUACUUUACCGUUCUUCGUGUUUAGUUUCCACCCCUUCAUGACCAUAUCAGAAGCAAAGGUUCUUCACUAGUGAUAGCAUGUAAUUUUUAGUGAUAAAUUACUUUAAGAGUUUGUCGGCGAAACUUUCCUUUUUAUUGGUGCUUUAUACAAUUAUCUUUUGUUUUUCUUUUACAAUACUCUCUGGGAGGGGGGUUUCUCUUUCCAGUUUUCGUUCAAAAAAAUUUAUCUGCUUUUGCCACAUUAGUGUGCAAAAAUAUUCAAAUGGGGAAUAUGCAUGUUUCAUAUUAAGAGUAAUGCUUCUAUACUUUUUUUUUUUUCCUUACCGUUCAAUCACUCCCACUCAACGGUACAGAUUUAAUUUUCUUAAAAUUGUGACCUACAAUAACAGGUCAUUUUAGGAAUGGUACCGGUCACCAGGUACCUCAAAAAAGGAUAUUUUUGUCUUUUAAUACAUGAGCAAUUUAGUCAUUUUAUCUCUAUUAUAUUAUUAAAAUUUUAUUCUCUCUUUAUUUCUUUUUUCUUUCUCUAUCUUUCCUCUCAUAUUUGGUAUUUCAUAUAAGAAAAUUUUCAAAUUAUUUGACAACAAGAAUAUGAGAUUAUUUUGUGAACCAACUAUGGAUUUUUUUCUCUAUACAUCUUGAAUCCAACCCGAAUCAUAUAUAAAGUUUAAUAUUAUAUUCGAAUUUAUAUUUUAAAAUUUUAAAUUUAAUAUAAAAUAUUUUGAAAUAUGGUAAAAAGAAAUAAUUGUUUCGGGUUCCAGUCUUUCGGUUUGGAUUUGGUUUUGGGUUUAAAAAAAUUGUUUAGUUUCGGGUUUAGAUAUGGAUUUUUGAAAUCCAUCGAGUUUAGAAAUAGAUUUUGUGAUUGUUAAUCAAAUUCGAAUUCAAAUUUCUAACCUUUUUUUUUCUGAAUAGUAAUCCUAAUCUUUUUAAUUUUUAUGUUUAAACUAAAUUCGUAAAUUUCUAAACUAAAUUUGUAAAUUAAUGCCUAAUUAAUGCCUAAAUUAGGGUAAUCAAUUAAUUUCCUAAAUUAGUGCAAAUUAAUGUAUAAAUUUAGGAUAUCAAUUAAAAGUUUCUUUAAAUGAUGUAUAGUUUAAUUACCGAAAUAACCUCGAAUGAUGUAACCCAUUUACCUGCUAAAUAUUAAAAUUACACCUUUACCCUCUAUUAAUCAACGGUUAAGUUUUAUUUUAUUUUUUUAAUAAUAAAGUACCGAAUCAUUUCUCUCAUAUUAAAAUUAC
This 77802-nucleotide long non-coding RNA is filed under the name Ananas comosus (pineapple). The record is from RNAcentral. Lineage: Eukaryota; Viridiplantae; Streptophyta; Magnoliopsida; Poales; Bromeliaceae.